This 85972-nucleotide long non-coding RNA is filed under the name Vitis vinifera (wine grape). RNAcentral describes it as "long non-coding RNA (VVIN_LNC001925)". The stretch from base 60807 to 60879 matches the Rfam family "tRNA". The record is from RNAcentral. Lineage: Eukaryota; Viridiplantae; Streptophyta; Magnoliopsida; Vitales; Vitaceae.
UCAAGUCCUUCCUCAAAGAUGAUAUCCAGAGCUGCUCUCAUCCCAUACAGCAGUUGGAUGGAAGGGGUGUAUGGCCAAAAUGUUCCCAAUUUAUAGAACUUCAAGUAGUCAUUCCAGUCAAAGAAAAAUCUCACUGAUUGUGCAGAUUUGCUUGCCUCUAGAGCCUUGGGGCCUGCACAUACAAUCCCCAUUCCAGUGGGAAGAGAAAGAGCUUUCUGAGAGCCGGUUAACGCCACAUCCACUCCCCAUUCAUCCAUACGGAAAUCAAGGGCACAUAUGGAUGACACCCCAUCAACAAGAAAGAGUGCUGGAUGACGGUACUCAUCUGAUAUUUCAAUACAAAAAAGAACGUUAAAAAUGAGAACCCAAUAGUGGAAAAUGACAGAAUCCUAAUGUGAAGUUUCCUUGCAGAUGAAGAUGUGGCCUAGAAAAUGAAUUCUUACCAAGGAUUCUCCUUACUGCAGCCAAAUUGUUGGUAACUCCAGUAGCGGUCUCAUUGUGAACAAUACAAACAGCCUUAAUAGUGUGUGCUCUGUCUGCUGCAAUUUUUUCUGCUAGAAUCUCAAGGUUAGCACCUUGGCCCCAUUCACUUUCUAUGACAUCCACAUUGAACCUAAGACGUUUCUGCUGGUCGAUCCACAGCAAACUGAAUUGCCCAAUCAGGAAUGAUACAGUUCGAUCUCCAGGAGACAAUGUGUUUGUAAGUGCACUCUCCCAUGCACCAGUACCUGAGCCAAGACAGCAACAACAAUAUGUAACAUAAAUGAAGAGUAAAUUAUCAAUCUUCCAAUGACAGAAAAGGAGAACCAGAAGGAGAGUUAUAUUGUGCUGCCAUAGCCAAACGAUCGUUUGAUCUAUGCAUGCAAAUAUCAAAGGAUGCCACAGAGAAAUGGAAGCUUCAAACCAUCCUGAUGAUUAAGAUUUCUGAAGAAAGCAGACUGUUAGUGAAUGCAGUACCUGUGGUGGGAAUGAGAAAUGGGGUUCCAGUAGUUGUCUUGAAGAUCUUCUUAACAUCCUCAAGAAGGUCUUUGGUCAAUGCUGGAAUUGGUGGAGCACGAUAAUCCUCAUUGUUCCGGUUCAUGGCCCGUAUGACAUGGUCUGGGAUAUUGACAGGCCCCGGAACAAAGAGAUGAUUUGUUCCUGGUGCAAAAUAGCGGUCCAUCUUGCCCUUCUUGAAAUCUCACUGCUGAGGUAAAAUUUUGAGAGAACACCUUAGCUACAAUGAACCAAUUAAGGGGGGAAAAAAAGAGAAAAACCAACUGAAAAUCCGCAAAAGUCUGUUAAGAAAAUCUGUCUUUUCAUUCAUUUAUAGGUUUGUAUUAAUAAAAGAACAGAGCUAGAAAGAAAAAACCAGAAUUUUCCUCUCCCCUCGAUCCAUUACAAUCAGGGGCCUAGCAAACAUAAAGAAAUUUUGAAGUGAAGUAAAAUCAGAUGUUACCUAGAUAAGACAAGAAAGAAGCUAAUACUUCUUCAAAAGAGAAUUUCAUUGUAAAUCCAAAUCCUGGUCUGCAAAUUCAGAUUGUGUGCAUAUUUAUAUUGGUUCUGAGUCUUCUGACAUAUGUAACAACAAGUACUAGUUUGGAAGAGUGCAAAAAGGAUAAGAAGAAUACAAAAACUGAAAUGGGUAGAGACAGUUUAGACAAAAACACCAUGUCAAGGACCUAAAUGGAGAAUAUGACUCCUAUUUUUUCCAGAUUGAGACUUCAUGCAGUUUAGUUGAUAUGACCAGCCAAGAACUUACCAACCAUAUAAUUGUGGAUAAUUGUUGGAACAAGACCCAAGUUCUUAGAUCAAAUUUUUCUUAAAUUUCGUUCGGGUAAAUGAAUGAAAUAUGUACACAAAAUAAAUAAAUAAAUAAUCUAAUUCUGAUAAACAGCAGGAAAUGACUCAAAAAUCAUUCUGCAACUUCCAGUUUUUGCUUUAGUUCCUGGUGAAAUGUAAUUAUCUAGACUUAUACCAUGCAUCAGAAUGGUCAUGAACUACACCUAUCAACCUUUACAUGACAUUAAUAAAACAAAAGAAGGUUGGAAAAUCAUUCUAUCAAAGAAAAAAGGGACAAUUACACUAAGAAAAUUAACUGUUUGUUUCUCAAGAAAUAUCUUUUCAGAAAAGUGAGGGACCUUUUUAGCGAGAACUAAAUGGAUUGAAGAAGUAGGAAAUCCUGAACAUUCCAUGAAAUUAAACUUAGUGGAAGCUGCAAUAACAACUGAGCAAGGAGCAAUAUGAUUCUCCAAUGACUAAAAAUCAAAGUACUCAUUUCUCAUGAGUUCAAAAUCAUAUUAAGUAUAGUUUCAAGAAAAAUAUAUCAUAGCUCAGCCAAAAAAAAGGGGGCAAAAAUCAUGGGUCUUGUUGUUUGGUACCAAGACAAUAAAUUACAUCAAACAAACCACUGAUCAGAGCCCCUGUUUCUUAUGUUGUAUGAAUAAAAGACAAUCAUUUCAAUACACCCUAAAAAGAAUUUCCCAUCUUACAAGAGCACACACUUUCCUAUUUCCCAACCAGGUUUUGAUGCCUCCAUAGCCUUUUCCCAACAUGACAAAAAGUAGUAUCUUCACCUUGGAAGAACCCAAACAAGCCUGAACUCUCCACAAAUCACCAAAAGUUUUGCUAAGUAUACUUCAACAUACAUACCAGUCUAAAUUAAACCAAAACCCCAAAGAAAAAUAGAACAAAAGAACAUAAAACACAACCUUUUCAAGCUGAAAGCAAUCAGAAUGAAUAAAAAGAUAGUGAAAUAAGACACAGAAAUGAAUGAUAAAGAGUUGAGAAGAGGAGAGCAAUAGAUUAUACCUUAAGGUGAAAAGAGUGGGGGUUGAGGGAGUUAGGCAGAGGCACAUAGAAAAAGAGGGUUCAGAUAUGAAAAGGCCAAAGAGGAAGAGGAAUUGAUUUUAUAAGUAGGCGGGAGGCCAAUCAACAUUGCAUCUGGCCCCCACUUUCCUCCAGUGUGGCAGAUAAGACUUGGCUUCUAUUAGAAUCCUGGGGCUGCCAUUCAAUAAUCUCAUGUAUGACGUGGCAGCAUACUACUGUGCCUUUUUUUUUCUUUUUCUUUUUUCCUUGGAUUUGCACUAACAUAUUUAACUAUUUUGUUUUUGUUUUUCCUUCUAGGUUUUGAAAUUUUCAUUGAGGUCCCUAUGUUAUCAUGCAAUGUUCGAGAUACCUCAAAAGAAAAUUUUAAAUCUUAUAUAUUUAUUUAAACUAUCACCCACCCGGUCUUUUGUAUAGACACAUUCUACAUUCAAUUUAUACAUCCUCACGGUCUUAAAACAUGUAUAUAUAAAAUAUGAUUAUAUAUGAUAAAGAAUCAUGAUAGAUGAUAUUAAAAUUGACAUUUAUUUAAAAGUGUACGAGAUUUGUCACCUUUUUUUUCUUAUUUAUGAAUCGGUGAUAUUCUCCCUCCACUACAAACGAGCAAACGUGAGCUCCAACCUAUUGGGAAGUUUAUAGAAUUAAGGGAUGAUUUAUUUCUUAAACCAAGGACAAAAAGGAAACAAAGUGAAUGAAGUAAUAGGCAAGACUAGAAAAUAGAGAGAAGAGAGGGGCAAAUAUGCUAAAACAUUGAAAAAGAAGGGGAGUCCAAAUCCAAAAGAUGAUUACUUGGCAGAAAAUUGAAAAUUCUACUAGUUUUUAAUAUGAGAGGCUGAGAAGGAAAUAUGAAAAGAUAACAUGAUAAAGGGCUGUGUCAGCCACACCCUCACUUGUGGGAACCAAGGCCACAUGCAUACCUCAUCUUGGAUUGUUUUUGUCUACAUCCUCUUUGCCUUCUCAGGUCUUGUGUGUGAACAUGUGGCUAUGUGGCCCCCUUUUAUUUUUGGAAUGAAAUGGUAGUUUUUUAUAUGGGUCUAGUAAAUCACCAAAUGGACCCUUUUUUUUUAUAUGUUCCAAAUUCGAUAACCAAUCCCACGAUGUUAUGUGUACAUCUUCAAGUCCAUACCCACACGAUGUCAUGUGUACAUCUUCAAGUCCAUUCAUAUGUAUCCUAUAACUUAAUCCAAAUUUGUUUUGACGCUUGAUCUAAAUUUUAUUAUUUACAUUUAAGAAUUUAAGUAAAGAGCUUAAUAGGUUGGUAGAAAAAUAAGGUGAUGAUGUACUACAAUUGGUAACUGUGGUUUUAAAAUCGUAAAAAAUAAAAAUAAAAAUAACAAAGUGGAAGUUGACAUGAGGAAUUAUUUGAUGAAUGUUUUUAAUGCAAAUUUAGAUGGAGAUUUUUAAAUAAUAAAAAAAACAAAAAGAUUACUUUGAUUGUAGACUUAGGGUUGGAUAGUGUUAGUACAUCUUUUUUCCAUCCAACUUACAACAUAAAUUUUACAUUUUUGAAAUUUAUUAAGGAGGUAUUUUUGUGUAAUUAAAAUCUUAAAAAUAUCAAAAUCAUUUUUUAAUUAAAAAUGUUUUAUCCUAAAUAUAGAGCAAGGAAAAGUAAUUAUUUAUAUUUUUUUUUCUUCCAUGGCUAAAGGUGAGGGUCAGAGCAUGCAAUCAGGUAAUGUGAAUGGUUCAGAAUCCACUGAAACUUCUGGUAUCAUGAAGGAAUCUUCAGCCAAACAGCACGCCUUUUUCUUUGUCUGGUCCUUUAUUUUACAACAUGUCUUAAAUUUUAACAUUUUUUUAAAUAACUUUUAAAAACACAAGAUAAAUUUGAUUUAUGUUUUUAAAAAUGAAAAAUAAAAAGCUUAUCCAAACAACAUUUAAGAGUUUCUUUACCAAUUAUUUUUUUAAAUAAUUUUCUUUCCAAGAAAAGAAAAGUACGAUUGGCAACCAAAAAACCAAAAAAUUAUUUUUUGUUUUUAAAAACGGAAAAUUGAGUGUUUUCAAGUUGUUUUCAAUUGUUUGAACUUAUUUUCUAAAAUUUAUUUUAAAACAUAACUAUACAAAUAUAAAAAAUAAUUAAAAAUAUUAUAAAUAACAAUUUAUUUUAAAACAUAGAAAACAAUUUUAAAAUUGGUUUUACUUUUAUUUGGCCAAAAGUCAUAGAUGAAAUCGUUAACAAUUGUUUUCAAAAACUAUUUUUCAGAAUUGUUCUUACAAGUACUUUCUAAAUAUAGUGCAACCACUCACCCAAUGAACCAAACCCUUUUGCAUUUGGAGAUGGACUUCCAAAAUAUUCUUGCACACAAAAGAAACUACCUUGCCACUCAUCCUAUGAACCAAACCCUCUUGCAUUUGGUGAUGGACAUCCAAAAUAUUCUUGCAUAUAAAAGAAACUAUAAGCGCAUUUGGUAGUGAUUCUAAAAAGUGUUUCUAAAUUUUUUUAAAAAUAAAAAUAAAAAUUUUCAAGUAUUAAAAAGACUAGAAAUACUACUAUCGAAUGUUCGAUGUAUGAAAUUCCCUUGUUUCCUAUCUAGGAGCUAUUUUACCAUAAUGUUAAUGUGAGAACAAUUUUAUUAUAGAUUCAUAGUCGUCCAUCUUAUAUACAAUCCUUGCAACAACUAAGAGAUAAUAUGGGACUAAUUGAGGCAUCACCUCCCUUACUUCAAUCAUUCAAUUAUGAUAAUGGAAAAUCAUUUCAUCUUUUUAGUUGAACUUUAGGCCUGCAAAAUUUCUAGGUACACCUUACAUAACUUUCGACAGUCCUCUCAUAAAGACCCAUUCAGGGCUAAUUGAGCUAAUGAGAGAGGCUAAUGGAAAUCAAGAUUUAUCAGGUACCUUCUGUCAAAUCAGAAAAAAAACAAAUAGAGGAAAGCUAUUGGUAGGGAAGAUAAGUUGCAUGUGAUGAAACUUAAUAGCAUGAGUUUAAGAUGAUAAUAAGAUAAUAAUUCAAUGUAUUUAUAUCAUGAGUUUAACAUGCCAUUUCCUCCACAAACAUCUACAUACAACAACGGAGGAAAAUGCAUAUAUCAACAUUUCUAAGGAAAAUUUUCAAAGGAGAGGAUCAAGAUUUCAAUGAUUCAAAACUGAUAAUGUACAAUUCUGAAAAGGGCAUAAUACAUAUAAAUGUCUCCCUCAUGUAAAUGUAAUUCAAAUGAGUGAGAAGUAAAUCCUUUCCUAAAUUUUCCCUAUAUACGUAAACAAAUCACCGGCCUCAUUUGAAAAGGGUUAAAAAGAAAAAGAACAAAAACAAAACAAAAAAAUUUUGGCGAGACUCCCAUCUCCUCCUUUAGUCUCUGCACAUAAAAGGAUCUUUGGCUUUUUCUCUCAGCCACCAUGUUUCAUGUUUGUAGCAAUUCCCCACUGAUCGUAUCCAACUUCUCGAAAGGGAUAUUCAAAGUUUUAUUCCCAUGGACGGAAAAAAAAUCCAGAGAAUGUCAAUGGCUGAAGUAAUAAAUUCCAACUGAGUGAGCAAUUUUUUGCUUCACUCUCUAAUUAGCGGGCUCUCAUCCAAUCAAAGCAUCCUAAGACUACUUGAUAACUGAUGAGAAACCUUGUCGGGGAGGAUAACCACUUUGACGCAUCCUAGAAGGCUUCUCAUUACCAAAACGUCUGUUAUCAGUUGGUCCUGAUCCAAGAAUCCCCAAAGAAUUUGGAUCGGGUAAACGGGAACCAUUGCUCAUUGGCCUUUGAGGCAGGGGCUGAGUCAGGGAAUGAGUGUUAAUAUUAUCAGCUCUUCUCCUCCGUUUCCAUGCUUCAAAUUUCCCAGCAUCAUGACUCUUAGAAACUGGUUCUGCUGUUUGAUAGGCAGACAUAUUUUUGUACCCUCUUGGUGGUCUCUCACCAUGGCGAUGAAAAGAAGGGAACUGACCAGGAUCACUGUCUUUGUCACCAGGGCCCCAUGCAGAACCAUUGACAUGAGAUGAUCCUACCCCUCCAUCCUCAUCUUGCUCCUGUUUAAGUUUUGAAUGAAUCUGACGAAGCUUCUCCCCAGACAAAUUUGAAAAAGUUGAGAUGUAAUUCCACAACCUCAUGAUCAUUCCUGUAAAUGAAACAGUGUGAGCAAGCAUGUUAAGGCAUCAAAAGCAUGGAUGAACAAAUAAUUCAAUCAGGAUGAACAAAAGCUUACUGUCUUGUUUAUAUUGUUCCUUGUCAUGCUCCAGAACAAUUUGGUCUAUCCUUCGUCCAAGAAGCUGCAAAUACUUCCGAAUUUUUGAAAGCACCUGAAGAAAAAUACACCCGAUAAAUACAUAGUUCUGUAAUAGAAUAAAGACAAUGGCCAGUAAAAAUGGUAGACAAGAAAUGAGAUGUACCAAAUCCUUUGGAAGAUUAGCACUAGUAGUUUGUAAUUUGUGAAGACGGUUCAGGGUCUUAAUCUCCGUCUUCAUGACAUCUUCACACCAUUCCAUCCAUUUCACUUCCCUGAACUGCUCAUAUACUUCUUCAUUACCGGACAUUUCACCCUCCUCUUUCACUAAAGGUUCAACUCUAUGGGGUUUAUGGGAUCUAUCCUUCCUCAUUUGAACGUUAGUUACAGGAAAACCAGGUUUUCCUUUCCUGUCCUUGCUGCGAGAUAUUGAGAUAUUCAUAAGAUUCUCUCUCUCCUUCUCCUUUUUAGAAGUCUUGCGACUAGCUUUGGUAUUGGUGUUCUUCCCACCAACAGCUACAAGUUCCUGAUUAAAAACACCUCUGGUCAGUUCUUGCAAUCCAGAAUCAAAGCAGCAAUUUGUGGGAAGAUGGAAACGGAUAAGAGGAGAAAUGAAGAUAUUCCAGGAAACCUAGAGGCACGGCCUUAGGUUAAAAACAGAAAAGAAAGAAAAGAAAAUUUGAGGAAGUUGGCUGAGAUGAUACUUUUAUGUACAUUUCUGGCAUAACCACCAACAUGGACAGUGUAUGUACACACACAUAAAUCCCUCCUAACCCAAUCUUAUCAUCAAUCACCUUUAUCCUAAAAAAUGGCACUCCAAGUUCUCAACAAUUCUUUUCAUAAGCAACACAGAAAUAAUUCAAAAUUUUUGAAGGGGUACAACAGAAAUAUAUCCUUGUACUGCUCUUGCCCAAUGCACAUGUUGGUGUUAGUAUGAUAUCAUCAUGUAAAAAAUGUCAAUAAUUUUAAAUUAAACCUUAUUUUCCAUUUUAUAGUUAUAUUCUAAAUUUAUAUAUGCAUUUAAGUAUCACCCAAUGUGUUUGGGGCAUGUAAGACCUAUAUUGAGCAUUUUUCCAAAAUUUGUCACCAUUUUGAACUCCUGGACCAAUUCUAGGCAGGUUCAUCAGUUACAAGUGACUAGGCUCUCACUCUUUCUUCUUCUUUUCUUUUUUUUUUUUUUUUUUUUUUGCAUUUUUGUUCAUAGCAAACAAAAACUGAACAAAAAUUUUAUUAGAAAAGGGGCCUAGUCAGUCCUAAACACAAGAUAUAAACACGCCCAAGGGUGAAACAAGAAAAGAAGGGAGAACGCAAAAGAAUACAAGCUGUAGCUCCUAGUCAGUCCUAUCAAUGCAAUCCAAUAGCAUAAUAUUGGCAUUCCUAAAAACAACACUAGACCACUGAAACAUAGAUUCAAGGAAAAAAAACAUAUCAGCAACUAAUCAGAGCACUCCUCUUAAAUCAUGCUAUACACUCUCAAUGCACACCAAAACAAACAAAGAGGGACUGAAUCUUGCACCAUCCUACACUGAUUGCCCACACUUCUACCAUGCCACCCCAGCAGUAACUCUUUAAACAACCAUGGAAACCCGCACUGAAUUUGAAACAAAGAGAGAAAAAGGUCCUAAAAACAAACUAGCCUAAUGACAAUGAAUGAGAAUAUGAUUUGUAGACUCCUUAUACCAACAUCUCUGUUUUUUUAUAAAUAACUAUUCCACAAAUCUUCACUGAUUAAAAAAAAAAAAAAAAAAAGCUCUUACACAAAUCUUCUUUAAGACAGCAAGUCAGGAGCAACAAACUACAGAUUACUUGUAUCAAUUGUUUUAAUAGAUUGACCUGCAAAGCAUUUUGAACUAUUGAUUAUUAAAAUAGACAUACACUAAAAAUCAUUUAAAAUGUGGUGCUUCCAAUUAUGCAGUCAAUUCUCACACCCAUAUUCUGUUUUCAUUUUUAAUAGAAUUUUUCGCCCAUAUUCUCCAUUCCAUGAACUAAAUUCUUCAACAGGUUGAGAUUAUCACAGCUCCCAUACAGCAUGAACCCAAUCAGGGAUGAUUACUAUUUUCCAAACCAAUUUAUUCUCACUAGAAAAGGGCCGAUAUUUAGCUCUCAACAUAUGAAGCCAUUGGAAUAAGUAAACCAUUAAUGAAUGACAGAACAAAAAUAAAAUAAGAAAUGAAAAUCCAGACUCCUUUUUGCACUGCACAGUGGGGCAAAGCAGCAGUUCGCUAGCAGCAAAUUAGUACAUUGCUUUGACUCUCAACUUAAAUAUUUGACUUUUCAGGGGAAGCCAAUAUCUAGCAAUCAUAAAGAAUCAACAAAGUACUCCAGAGAAAGUACAUUUACAGGCGAUCAAUGUGAAUUUUAAGCAGAAGAUGGGCCAUUCAGUAACACAGUUUAUAGGUAAACACUGAAACCAUCUUUUAUAACAUUGUGUUUUUUUUUUUAACCUCUUUCCUAGCUGAUCCGUUUCCUAACAUAAUAAUCACUAAAAUCUGUUUUCUGCUAACAACAGAACAAAAGUUGGAGAUUGCUAACAUAUGCUGAACAUUAAAUUCACUGCCUCUGUAAUUUAUACUGCCUAUGCAGAGUACCCAUUUCCUAUUAUUUUAUUACCCUACCAACAAAUUUACCCUCGGUAUGUUUACGUGUUUAGUGCUAUAAUUCAGCAUAAAAGAUUUUAGUUGACAAACAAUGCUGAAGCAACUCUCAUUCAUCCAAGGAAUGGGCAUAAGUGAUUGCCUACCAUUUCCAGAAGUGCAGAAGCACGGUCUUUCAGGUUGGGAGCACGAGGUAGGAAGGUUUCGUGGUGUUGAAGUUCAACUGGAGCGAUCUUUUUUGUGAGACCCAGCCUUUCAUCUAAUCUUAUCUUUUCCCAAUUGCCAAAUCCAUGAUAAUGUAUUCCAAGAAGCAAUCUGGCAUCGUCAACUAAUGACAAUAUCAAUAGUUAAAAGUAUUACAAUCAGAAAAACAUAACUGAAUUUCCUUUCUAUCAAAAAAAUAAAGAAAUGAAAAAUAUAAUAGAAAAAUGAUAACACUUACUCUGAUUCCAGCCACAACCUUUAGACCAAUUUGAAGGUUUGAGGUACAUUAACACCCGGAACUGGGCAAUGGGAUCUUCAUAGCGACUGAUGCGCUUAGCUAGGAGCUGAAGUUCUUGAACACGGUUAAGUACUUCAUUAGCUUUUACCGGGACACCAAAAAAGUCCAACAUAGGCCCCUAUAGAGGAAUACCACAUGAAAAUGUUAAACCACUAAAAAAUGCUUCCAAAACAAACAAGAUGCAGAUAUAAAAUUCAAGUAACAAUCUGUGACUCCAGAAACAAUCUUACAGCCAACCUUUGGGUCUAGAUUUCCUUCUUUAACUGCCUCUCUACACCCAUCAAUUAAUGCAUCAAAAAGCUCAAUUUGUGCUUCAGUUGGAGCUGCUUCAAUUGUACCACCAACCUCCAUGACAAUUGAGCCAAUUUGACUGGGGUUUCCAAAUUUCAAUACCUGAUUUCAAAAGGAACUAAAAAUUAAGCAAUUGAAGUUGUAGUGUACAAUGCAAAAAGAAAACAAAAUUUUAUGGCAUGUGACCAAAGAUCCAGCUUUGUAUAUCACAGAUGAAAAUGCAGAAUCCUUGUCCACCAUGACACAAGUAUUCUGAUUUUAACCCAAAUACUUGCACAUCUUGCAAGGAAUAGUCAAAACUAAUUAAUCAAAAGCCAAUUUUCUAGCAACCUCCUGUAAGGUGCAACCCCAAAGACAAGGUUGAUGAAUAGGACAUUACCGCACGAGAAAAACGUGAUGCAUCUCUCUUUGGCAAGUUACCAUAAGACCAACCCCUUACUUGAGCAGCCGCUCCCUCAAUCCUUGGCACUAAAUGAACCAAAUAAUCUGCUUUGCGGCGCUUCUGAGCUCUCUCCUGUGGUUCAGCAGCCUUCUUUUUCCUUUUACUAAUUCUCUCAGGUUGAUUAGCCUCAGCAUAGCUCUUGGUAUUUCUUGCAGCACGUGGAGCUAAAGCAUCCUAAAAGGGAGUAAAAAAAAAUUUAACAGAAAACUUGUAAGAAACAGAAUCCUCAGACAAAUAUAGAGAAUAGUCAGUUGCAUUUCAGAUUCAAUCUUAUCAACACAACGUGUUCAUACUUCAGCUUCCGCUACAGCUUCUGGUUUUAUCCAACGGGACCAGAAACUCCCAUCAUCUUCAGCACUACCGAAAUUUGCAACCUGGGUAUAAUAAAAUAAAAUAAAAAAAAUUAAAAAAAAAAAAGAGAUCUCCUCAGGAAAAUGCAAAGGGACCGACUUGCUAUAACAUGAAAGCAGAGACAACAAGAAAUCAAACACAAGCAACAAAUAACCACACUUAAAACCUCCUCUAACCCAACCAAACCCCCACCCACCUCAAGAGAUGGGAAAAAUAGAACAAAAAAUAAAGCACAGAACAGUUUCAAGCCCCAAGGGUGAUUGCUAUAUGCUUACCUUAAAAGCACUCAAUAAUUCAUUCCCUUCCUCUCCAGUUUCCUUCUCUUCUACUUUCUCUGCUCUUUCAAGAAUUUCAUCAAUAUCCAUACUUAAGAGCCUCUUUUUGCUUUCUUCUUCAUUUUUGUCUUCCUUAAAAAGUUCCUCCGCCCCAAACCUUAAAAUAGCCGACAGCUCAUUCUGCAAUCAAGAAAAGAAAAUGUUGGAUGGAGCAAUCACACUAUACAACCAAAAAAAACAGCAAUGCAACAUGUUCCUAAAAAUAUAAAAUGACAUAGGAAGAACUACGGUUGCAAGGAAGAUGAACAAAAGAGAAAUCGAGAAGAUGAUGGCAAUGAUGAUGACUUCAAUUAAAAAACAACACCAACAAAGCUUCAAAAUCCAAAACCAUCUCCAAUGUAAUCCAAUAAGAACAAUUGUUUUACAAUGUAUCCUUACUUUGUCAAAGUAACUCCCCUUUUUCGAUUCUUUCUUCUCCAGUCUACCUUCUGCAUUUAGUUUUUGAAUCACCAAAUGAUCAAGUACCUAUAAAGAAAAAAUGGGAACAUAAGAAAAAACAUGUAAAUUGUUUGGCCUCAAUUAGUGAAAUAGUAGAGACCAUAUAAUCCACCAUGUGUGCAAACAGACAUGCUUUUAAAUAUAAACAGUAUGAAAAGAAAAGGAUUUAAGCAUAGACAAAGAAAUGUUUGGUUUACCAUCUUUUGCUUGGCUCGCUUCAGAAUAUUUUCCUCAACACUUUUGCUUGUAACAAAUCGGUAGAUGUUAACUACUUCUCGUUGCCCAAUUCUAUGAGCCCUACUCAUUGCCUAGUGCAUAAAGCUAUAAUAAGUAUAAUUGAGAAAAAUAUAACCAACUACAUGACCAAACUAAGGGACAUCCAGUCAAAACCUGUAAGUCAUUUUGGGGAUUCCAGUCAGAAUCAAAUAUAAUAACUGUGUCUGCAGUUGCAAGGUUAAUGCCCAGGCCACCAGCACGGGUUGAAAGGAGGAAACAGAAAUCAUCACUUCCAGGUGCAUUAAAAUGAUCCAUUGCCUGCUGACGCAACUCAGCCUUUGUACUACCAUCAAGCCGCUGAAAUUGGAACCCUCUAAGUGACAUAUAUUCUGCCAGUAUAUCCAACAUUCUAACCAUCUGCAUAAAACAAUCUUGUCACUUAAAUAGCCAGUACAAUUGUAUCCCUAAAUAAAGAUAGUUUGUUAAGACAUAAUUUUGAUCAAUAGACGACUAAUCUUGAUCAACUUUCAUCUAAAUAUAAAGGACACAUGGUACAAUAAAUAAAUCAUAAAAAAAAAAAAAUUAAUUUAUGUAUGUAAACUGUAAGCAUAGUUGACCCUAAUAAAUAUUAGCCAAAUAUUGUUAUGAUCUCAUAGGCAAGCACACACCUAAUCAAUAAGGAAAACAAAAAGACCUACAUGACACCAAGGUGCAAUUUUGUUGAUGAUUGCAUGCUUCAAAGAAAAUUUAAUGGAUUUUUUUUCCUUCAGUGGUCUAAAGAGGAGAACAAAUUGUUUGAGUAUAAUUUUAAGGGGGUAACUCACUAAAUACCUUACAAAACUUAAUUUCAUUUUUAUAUUUCAUAUCUUUUUUUUUAUGAAAUAUUUUAAAUCCUCUUCUAAUUAAACAAUUUUCAACUUUGUAUACCAAUCCUUAAGACUUCCCAUUUCGUAUGGAGAUAUAAGAGCAAAAGAUUAUGAAGUAGAAGAGGGAAGAAGCCCUCUUUACACCACUUCUCUAAUAAGCAGUAAGUACAACACCAAACAGCAGGAGAGUUGAAAAUUUAAUGUCCCUUUUCAAUGCAGAAGGCAUAAUUUGGAUGUAAAUGGAAUAUUUAGUUAAGCCACCCAUCUUGUUCCUUUUGGAAUAGAUAUGGCAUUGCCAGAACCAGGUUUGUAUAAGCAUCAUAUAGGGUACUAUAAGCAUUACCCACUUCCAACAGAAACUAAGAUGAUAAAGCAGCAAAAAAAAAACAUAAAUGGGAUUAUGCACAAUAAAAUCAUAGUCUCUUUUCAUGACUCCCAAGUGGAAUAGAUUAAUUCAAGAGAAAGGAUGAUAUCAGCUAUUACCAAAAACCAUGUAAUACCUGGCCCAACAAUUGCUAAUACAUUAGUCAAAAUGCACAAUAGUUGGCAACACAAACCUGAGAAAAUAUUAGAACACGAUGAUUCGUCUCAUGCAAUUUCUCAAGUAGCUUAUCAAGUAAAACAAGCUUCCCACUGCUUAAAAUAAGCCUCUCCAGUUUACCGCAGUCAUUGGUACUUCUGUUCCCACCAUAACCAUGGUCUGCGCUUUCAAAUAGAAAAGGAUGAUUGCAGCAUUUCUUCAAUUCUACAACAAUAUUUAGAAGUGAAACCUGCAAUUUUGAAAGGAUUGAUAUAUGUCAAAGUUCAAUUACAAUGGAAUGGGGAAAGAAUAGCCAUGAGUAAAUCAAGAGUUAUUCAGAAAGUUAAAUCUCUGGUCGGUCAAGUCAUAAAAGCAGUAUAUUUUGAUCAUUUUAGCAAGGUCAUGCUCGAAUCUCACGAUAACAACUAAAGCUAAAAAUCAUAGACAAUAAUAACAUAUACAGAUAAUAGGCACCAUCUAACUUCGUCAAGGAGCUGUGACAAAAGUACCCAAACCUAAACAAUUUAAAUAAGAAUAUGUUGUAUAUGUACUAACCUGAUUCCCACGAACUCCUUUGUUCAAGUCAUGGAAAUUGCGUUCCAAAAUCCACUUAUAAUACCUAUGAAUGUAAGUACCAGGUGAGAAUAGAGAAAACUGAUAUAACCAGAAAUGAUACUACUUCAUACAAGUUAAGGAUAAUACUAACUGUUUUUGAAGAGGGGACAUUUCAACCCUAAGAAUACGUUCAAUUUUUGGAGGCAAAGACUUCUCUACAUCCUUGAUAACUCUUCGAAGAAUAUGGGGCCUCAAUUCCAUAUGAAGAUUUGCAAGCUACAAAAAUAAAUAAAAACAAAAAAUAAAUUUAAAUUCCAGUUCUAGGUGUAGUGAAAUUGGUACUUUGUUGAAUGAAACUAAAAUUUAUUGGGUGAUGAGCGAGGCAAAGAAAUUGUGUAAUGUAGAUAACCAUAAAUGUACCUCCAUUUCGUUGAAUGAGCUAAGAUUCUUGUAAUUCUGAACAAAAUCAUCUUUGUUCUUGAAUUUAUCAGGAUCAAGGAAGUGAAGUAGAGCCCUAAAAUUCAAAAGAAAAAGAAAAUAAAAGAGAUAAACUAAAGAACCAAGUACCUAUGCUUGUGCAAAGGAGAUAUAUAUGGCAUCAAUAGUAGCCAGUGAAUCCUUUCAAAAAAAAUAGACAAAAGGAAAAUAAAAAUCAGUGGAGCCACUAACUUUCUUUUACCAAAAAUAAUAAAAAAUAAUACUACUACAAUAUUGUGGAGAAGGCCAUGAAGUAGAGGUAUAAUGUGGGGAUGAGGGCCCACUAAAAAGGGCUCUGGCAGAUGGCAGUAGGGUGUAGCUUUCAGGUCCUCUGGAAAAGGUUGAAGAAGGCCUAAUGGGUUUAAAGGUGAGAGUAGGGGUCACAGAUAGUGGGAGGGACCAGGAGGGGUUAGUUCCCUCAGAAGAUUGGUCCAACAGUAGCCUAGCUAUUUUUUUAGCAAGUGUUUGGGCAUGCCAAUCAAGGGCUACAAGGUAGAAAUGUUGACUCUCCUAAGAAAAUUGAAGGCAAGAAUGGAGUCGAAGGGCCAAGUCAAUGCAAAGAGGAGGAAAGUAUACACUUCAAAAUUUAGAAGACAGUUAUGGAAGUUGGAGUGCUCAGUGAACUAUAAUGGAGCAAAAGGAAGGGGAAGCAAUAAUUGUUCAGCAUGAUGGGAGCUGGUUUCAGUUGGUAAAUGAAGCCGAGAAUUCUCUCUUGUAAUAUUAGAGAGGCCAACAAUAGGGAAAAGAGAGAAUUUAAUGUCUUCUUAUUAGAGCACAAAAAGCAAUCCUAGUUUGUUUACAAGAGACGAAAAUCCAAAAAAUGUCGAUGAAGAUUGUGAGAAGUUUAGAGGUGAGAUUUUUUUUUUUUUUAUUUAUCAGAAACGAAGAAAAAUGUAUUAAUAAAAGAAAAGAUACAAGAGAAGGAAAAGGGGUGAGAAUAUUUUUAGAAUGGGGUGUUAUGGAUGAUAAGGAUACAGCCAGAGGUGGUGUAGUUUUUUGGAACUACAGGAUGUUAGAGCUUGUUGGUAUGGAAGCAGGUGGUCUUUCGAUUUCUUAUCAUUUAAAAUAUUAUGAAGAUGGCUUUGUUUGGAUCUUCAUGAGGGUGUAUGGGCAAACUAUAAGGAGGGAAAUAGAGUUUGUGGGCUGAGUUAGAGGCAAUUAAGGGUUGUGCAAUGAUCCCUGGUGUACCAGGGGAGAUUUCAAUCUCAUCAAGUUCUCGAGGGAGUGUAGUAGAGGGGAACGUUGUCUACAGCCAUACAAAGAUUCUCGGAGAUCAUUGAGGAGCUCAUUUACAUGAUCUCCCAUUGUCGCAAGGCCCAUUUACUUGGUGUGGCGACUUGAGCAAUCAAUCCAUGUCAAGAUUAGAUCAAUUUUUGGUGUCUAAAGAGUGGAAAAGUCAUUUUAGUGUGUUGAUGUAGUGCUCCUUGUCGAGGCCUACGUCAGAUCACACUGUUUUGUUAGAUGGGAGUGGGAUGAGGAAUGGCAGCUCACCUUUCAAGUUUGAGAAUAGGUAGCAGCUGAAGGUGGAGGGAUCUAAAGACUUGCUCAAGCUUUGUUAGAUGGGCUUCAUUUUAGAGGUUUCUAUAGUUUCAUUUUGGCUUCCAAAUUGUAAGACUUGACGGCAAGUUUGAAUGUGUGGAACAAAGAAGUCUUAUGCAACAUUGCAAUCCAAAAGGAAUUGACCUUAAAUCAGGUGGGAUUCUAGCACUACAAAGAGAGGGAAUUAAUCCUCUCUCAAGGGGAGGUUGAAACUAGAAGGGUAUCAAAGGAAGAAUAUGCAUGAUGACCUCAUUGGAUGAAGCAAAAAACACGAGAGAUUUGGUUGGAGGGGGAUAGAAAUGCCAAGUCUUUUCACAAAAUGGCUAAUGUGCAUAGAAAGAUAAUUUUUUUAACCAAGAUAAAACUAAAUGGGGAGUGGCUCUCUAAGGAGAAUGAGAUAAACGAAGAAGUGGCACAGGCUUUCCCGGUUCUAUAGUUAGAUCUGGAUCAAACAUCAAUAGCAUAUCUUUCAAUGCUUUGGAAAGACGAGAGACAGAUGGUUUAGAGGGGCCAUUGGUAGAGGAGGAAGUAUUCACUGCCCUCUCAAAUUUAAUUGGGGACAUAGAUCCAAGCCUUGAUGGGUUCUUUAUGGUUUUUUGGCAAUUUAGUUGGAACUUCUUAAAAGGUGAGAUGAUGGGUUUCUUUAGCAAGAACCAAGGAGAUUGGCUUGACUUGGAAUAAGUUACCCAAGGAGACUCAGGUUUAUUUUAGCAAGAACAGGGCUAAACAUACAGACUAACUGCACUUGAUGAACGCGGGAAAAUGUUCGUACUCAAGAAACAUGUUCAACAUACAAGCAUUCUAAAACCUAGAUGUUUACACCUUGUUUGGGAUUACUUCUUGCCUUUGGAAUUAGUUAGAAGUUAAAACCAUGAUUCAAAGCGAAAAGCGAUGAGGAACUUUUUACUCUCUAUUCAUGUAAUCAAGGAUUUUAUCCUGAAAUGUGAGAAAUGAUAUGGAGAAAUGAAAGACUAUUAAGGCACUGAUUAGAUCUUAUAGGGUUAAUCUUGUGUGUCUGCAAGAAACAAAGCUUCAGCAAUUGAAUUCUCAGUUAGUGAGAAGUUGGGGUGUGUGUAGAUUUCUAGAUUGGGGAGUUGUGGAAGCCAGAGGUUUUGGAGGUUUUUCGUUUUUUGGGACAGCAGGGAGCUUGACCUACUUGAUAUGGAAGUUGGUGUUUUCUCUAUUUCAUGUCGAUUCAGAAACUGCAAAGACGGUUUCACUUGGCUUUUCUCAAGGGUGUACAAUCCUGUCCAAAUAGUGGAAGUUUGGGCCCUCAAUCCAAUUUGAGUGGGGAUAAAGCUCCAAGACCAAAUGGCCCUUUUUGUUCAAAAACAAAAGAUGUAUUAAUUACUAUAAAGAGGUCAUGAGAAGGAUGAGAAAUCCUCUCUAUAAAAUACAAACCUGAUCAAACACCAAAAAAAUCUCCGCUUUACAAAAAGAUUUGGACAAAAAAAGGGAAAAGACUAUACAAGUGGUACAUCUCCACAAGCUCAUCUAGGCUCCUCGCAAUGUAGGCCCAACGCUAAGGGGUACCCGAGACCAAAUGGCUUCACCACGGCAUUGUAGCAGUUCUGUUAGGAGUUUGUUAAAUAGGAGGUGAUGGGGUUCUUCAAAGAAUUUUUUUAUAAUAGCUUUUUCAGAUCAGUAUUAAUGCAACUUUCUUGGUCUUAAUCUCGAAGAAUGGUGAUGCGGAGGACUGAAAAAAUUUCAGAUCAAUUAGCUUAGCAGAUGGCUUUUUUAAGAUUUUGAUAAAAGUCUAGGCUAACUGACUCAAAAAAGGUUGUGGGACAAGUGGGCUUAAACUAUCAACAUGCCUUCAUAGCCAAUGCGGCCAUUGAGUCAAUGUUGAAAAGCUCCAAUAAAGGAGUUAUUUACAAAAUGGAUAUUAAGGAGUAUGCCCAUGUCAAUUGGGAAUUCCUAUUGGCAAUUUUGGAGAAAAUGAGUUUUGGUCUUAAGUGGAUGAGAUGGAUCAAAUGGUGUAUAUCAUCAGAAAAUAUAUAUGUGCUUUAUUAACGGGACCCCAGUUGAACUAAGUUGAGAAAGGGGGACACACUUUCUCCCUAUUAUUUAUCUUGGUCAUGAAGGUGCUUUGUAAGAUUCUAAGGAGAGCUAGGAAUGGGGUUUUCAUCAUGGAUUUCGAGGUGGGUGGUAGAGGGGGCGAGGGGUUAGAUUUGACUCAUCUUCUAUUUGCUAAUGAUACUUUAAUUUUUUUUUUUUUUUUUUUUUUUGUGACUAAUCAAAAGCAUUUAGAGUAUCAGAGCUAAUUCCAAUUGAAGGAACUGAUAACAUGGAGGCCCUUACCGCUACUAUGAGAUGUGGGACGAGGUGCAAGAAAGAUCUCAAAGAAGGCUUGCCAUAUGGAGAAGGCAAUAUCUUUCCAAAUGAGGGAGAUUUAACUUAAUUAAAGGUAUAUUGUCGAGUCUUCCUAUCUACUUCAUGUCUUGUUCAUAACCUUUAAAAAGGUGAGUCUAAGAUUGGAGUAUAUCCAAAGGAACUUCCUUGAGGUGGGGCUGCAUCAAAGGAAAAGCCUCAUUUGGUUAAUUAGUCCAUAGUUUGCUCAAAUAAAAAGAAUGUGGGCCUUGGCAUUAGGAAUCUCUCUUCUAUAAACAAGGCACUCCUUAGCAAGUGGUGCUAGAGAUUCACAUCUCAAUGUGAGUCGCUUGGAAGAGUGUUACUGCAUAGAAGUUCAAGGAAGAAGGGGGAUGGUGCUCAAAGGCAAUGGGGGAUGGUCAUGGGGUGGGUGCGUGGAAGGCUAUUAGAAAUGAGUGGGAGUCCUUCGUUAGAACUCACUCCAUUCCUCGCAACAAUAGAAGAAGGGACUAAUUCUAGAAAAAUAGAUGGUGUGGUGACUCAUCCCUGGAAGUAUCGUUUCCGUCUCUAUUAUCUUUAGCCAAUGAUAAAGACUCUUAGGUAGUAGGAGCAAGGAGGAAAGGGUGAUCUAUAGAGCCCCUGCUUCUCAAGGCAUUUUCAUGAUUGGGAGAUUAAAGAAGUGAUGACCUUUCUACAAAUAUUGCAGAAGAGCUCAAUUUAGAGUGAGGAAGAGGACAAAUUGGGGUGCAAGGAGUCCAAAAGUGUUGUGUUUUUAGUGAAAUCUUUCUUCCAUUCUUCAGUUCAAGAAAAAAUGAGUUUUUCCCCUCUCAGCAUGGUUUGGAAUCCAUGGGUACCUGUGAAGGUGGGAUUCUUUGCAGGGUAAGCAACUUGGGGGAGGAUUUUAAUGACUGAUCAGCUUAAAAAGAAGGGGAUGGACAAUGCCUAAUCGUUGCUUCACAUGCCUAUGACAUUUGGUUCUCUCUUUUUGGUGUUGUUUGAGUGAUGCAUUCCACCAUCAGAGAAAAUCUUUUGAGCUGGCACGUUCUUUCGUGGGUAAAAAUGGAAAAAAGCUUAAAGGACUGCUCCUUUAUGCUUGUUUUGGGGAGCGUGGAAGGAAAGAAAUAGGUCUUUUGAAAAUUCAGAAGAAUCUGAUCAGAAAAUCAGAUCUUGUUUCAGGAACUCCUUUUUGGAAUGCAUUACAGUGUACAUAGAUGACCAUUCAUUGUCCAUGAUAAACUUUGUUGCUUGGCUUAGCUUAAUGUAAGGAGAGGGAGGUUGUCUUUUGUGUUUCUCUCGUUUCUCAGCACACCUUUUGUUGGUGUCACAUGCACACACCAUGUGUACAUUGCUGCACCUUUGCUUAGGCAUCUUUGAUAUAUUUAUGCUAUUUGCCUAUAAAAAAACAGGCAAUCUUGAGAUUAUGGAAUUUACGCUAAACAAAAAAUGGCUCCCAAAUAAGCUAAAAAUGGGAGAAGCAACACUUCCAUGUUAAACUCUUUUUGAAGCCAGAGCACUUUUACUAAAAAAUAAUGUGAGUGGCAAUACAAGAAAACCUAGAAUAAGAGAUGAAUGCACUUACAAAAAGACAAUAGUACAAAAAAUCAGGACACCAUGAGAAAGCCUAGUUGGUUUGGUCAAGAUAUACAAAGCACUGAAGACAUCUUGAAUGGGAAAAGAUUGGUAGGGCAGGAGAGAAGAAAAACACCAUGGCAUGUGGCUUAACCAAUGAUAAAGCCUUAGAGCUGCAGCAAUGAAAGAAUUAUAUAGAAAGCUAACUAGUUAGGUGUUGGGCUGUCCUUUGCAUCUGAUUGAGUAUCUUGAUUAAAGCAAAAUGAAGACUACCGAAGACUAUGAAGACAGAUUUAACCUCAAAGUAAUGUUUUAGAAUCAACUGAACUAAACAUGGAUUGCAAGUUAUCCAAAACAACAGGAGUAGUGAGACAGCAGAAAGAUUUAUUGCCCUUCUAACAGUAGAUAAACUAUGUGGAUUGACCCACUGACUCUUCAUUAGAAAAGGAGGCAUAAUUAUAAAAUGACAUUUAUAGAUAUGCAUGUGACACUUAUGAUCAAAAACUAUAAAAAUCAAUCAAAGAAUUUGAAACAACUUUGAGCACCGGAACCCGCAAUCUUCACAAUAAUUUGAGGGGAAAACCAAUUACCAAAGCUCUUCAACACUGUUCUGUAAUGGAGUACCAGUGAUCAGCAACUUGUUCUUGGCACUGAAUUCCUGCAGAAAAGCAAGGCAUCAUCUAGCAUUAACCAAAUAAGACUCAUCAACAAAAAUAAAUAUUAUUUAUUGAAAAGACAAAAGCCAGAAAAUUAUAAUGAAAUAUGUGUACCCAGAGGAUUGUUUACUAUUGUGCUUCAUAAAUAAAAGGCCAACGUAAACAUAUCAUUAAGAAAUACAGCAUACCGAGAGGGUUGUAUACAAUUGUGCUUCACUGUUCUUUAACCUGUGGGCUUCAUCAACCAUGAGGUAGUUCCAUUUGAUCUUAGAAAGCACAGCCUUGUCCUUCAGAACUACUUCAUAAGUAGUCAAUAAAGCAUUGAAUAGAAUAGUCCUGCCAGUUUUCUUAUUAGUGUAAAAUUCAUAUUGCUGACAAACCUGCAAAUAAAAAGUAGCAAAAUUAUAAAUAAAUAAAACAAAAUAAUAGAUAUUUUGAUAAGGACGCAAGUAUAAUAGGGAAAUAACAAUUCAGCAGAAUUGUAAAUAGAAAAUUCUCNAUUUAUCUCAUAAGUCNNNNNNNNNNNNNNNNNNNNNNNNNNNNNNNNNNNNNNNNNNNNNNNNNNNNNNNNNNNNNNNNNNNNNNNNNNNNNNNNNNNNNNNNNNNNNNNNNNNNCCCCCCCCCCCCCCCCACACAUCCAUUUCAUUUGCAAAGCAAUAAACUAUUUAACUGGAUCAACCCAAGUCUACCAACUCCCUCAACAACUCUAUCGACACACCAAAAACCAUUUAACUGCUCCUCAUCCCAUUUAACUGGAUCAACUGUAAUUCCAACUCUCUUGCCAAGAAGACAGCCAGUCACCACUAAUGCAAGAGAAUAUUCAUUAACACAAUUGUUAUAGGCGACAAAAAUUUAUUGGAGGCGCAUAAAUAUAACUCUUCAACCAUCUAUCUACCUCCUCUCACUCCACAACAAAAACAACAACCACCACCAUACAAACACACAGGCACACACAAAGUCAACACAAACACUCUCUAUACCCUGCCUCAAAGGAACAACUCCUCCCCAUCCUUUUGUCCACGCAGUGAUGAACUAUUUAACUGGAUUAAUGCCAACUCCACCAACUCCCUUGUCAACACUACUGCUCCUUCCACCAAUGCAAGCACAUUUUCAUAAACACAAUUGUUCUAGAUGUCAAGCAUUUAUUAAAAGUUUAUAGAAGACAAUACUUCUCCGAUCACACACAAAACCACCUAAAGUUGGAGCUUUUUCCACCAGUAGCAACUGAAAAGAGAGUUAAUAAAGAUGGCCUUCCCAUAUAAGACAAUCUCUCCAGAUAGACAUACUUGUAUAAAAAGUGCAGUCUUAGAUCCAUUGUUUUAUCACUGCACUAUUUCUGAGUUUUUCCAGGGAUUCAUUCUGAAGAGAUAUUCCAAAUAUUUACAGUGUUUUCUCCCAGGGUUAUGUAGGAGAGUUAGGAGACCUUGUGGAAGAUUAGAUUCAAUAGAAAUGUUUGUCUCUUUCAGGAAAAAGAGUGACCCGUUGAUGAGCUGUGGGACAGAAUGUGCUUUGAAAACUCUUAGGGUAUCUAUAAGGAGAGAAACCAAAGAACCUUUGAACUAACAGACUACACGAUUUUACGCUUCUUCAUGUACAUGUUUGUGGAAUGGAUUAGGGUACAUAUAGAGUCUACUUCUUUGUCCCUUUCAGAUUUCAUAGAUUGGUUGGGCUGUAAGUGAAGCGAGGGUGUUGUUUUUGCCUAUCCCUCCUUUUUUUGGCCUUGUAUACAUCAUGUAUACUUCAGCAGCUUUUUUGGCACUUUUAAUACAAUUGUUUUACUUAUCAAAAAAAGGGUAUCUAUAAGGAAAGAGUUUGCUAACAUCCCUAUAAACACUAUUGCAAUGGAUUGGGAUAUAUUUGUCCAACUAAACAAAACUGAGUGGGGUAUCAUUGUCAAUGGUUCAUAUCUGCAGUGGACCACCUUAAGCUCAAUUUCAAUAAAUGUUCAUCUGAACAUCAGGUCAAGCAGGUGCCUAGGGCAAUAUUGAAAUAAAAGGAAUGAGCCUGUUAGCUCAUCUACAAAAGUGGUAAUGGAUUCACUAUAGCAAUGAAGUUAUUAGCCACAUUUGAGGCUUAGAAAGAGGUGUAGGGUUAAAGGAUUUUUUUUUAUAUAACCGCAAAACCUUCCAUGGCCGAGCUCUUCAAACUCUCAAUGGGACCCAAAUGUCAAGGUAUUGACUAUGCCCACCACAAUCAACACCAGGUAAUCUAGGGCAUUCAACCAAUAGCAGGAAUUGAGCCUAGGACCGUGUGCCUCUACCACACAUCCUAGCAUUCACCUUAAUCAAUUGUAUACCCUGAUGGAUAGAAAGAAGUCCACAGUGACAAUUGUUUGAAUGUGGACAAGGCAUAUAAACCCUAAGGCCUACUCCUAAUGCAUGGAUCAUAUCAUUUUUUUGAUGGGUAAACACAGAAGAGAAUAUAUUAAAUAGAAAAGGAAGCCCGAAGGGCAACCUAAGGCAUUUUACACCCAAUCCCCCCUUACUUUUAUCCAAGCAUACAACCCUCCAUUUAACAAGAUAAAUUUUCCUCUCCAAAGCCCCCCCACCCCAAAGGAAAUCCCUUUGGAUUUGCUUAAGUCUCAAUCUAACCGAUCUAGGCAUACGCAAAAUUGACAUGUAGUAAAUAGGCAUGUUCGACAAAGUGCUUCGAAUAAGAGUAAGUCUCCCCCCUUUAGAUAUAUAUUGCCUCUUCCACAAAGCUAAUCUCCUCUGUAACCUCUACUCCACCCCAUCCCACACCACCACUGAUUUGUGAGGUACACCCAAAGGAAGCCCUAAAUAUAAGGAAGGGAGCUUCCCCACCUUACACCAAAGCUCAAGAGCCAGCUCCUCCAAAUUCUCCACCCUCCCUACGGGAAGAAUCUCACUUUUAUCCAGAUUAAUUCUUAAACCAAAUAUGACUUUAAACCACAUUAACACCCAGCUUAGGUGAGCCAAUUGGCCCUCAAAGGCAUCACAGAAAAUCAGCGUGUCAUCAACAUACAGCAGAUGGGUGAAUUGAACUCCCUCACCACCCCUCCCUUUAACCCUACAGCUAGUCAAAAAGCCCCCACUAACCGCUCUCUUGAUCAAACAGCUCAAGGCCUCCAUACCUAUUACAAAAAGAUAGGGUGAAAGGGGGCCCCUUGUCUCAACCCCCUGGAGACUGGGCAAGACAUGAUUCCUUAUUUACAUGGCAACCCAGAUCCACUAAUCAAGAAACUGACAAUCUCAUGAAAGAAAGCCACAACAUAUAUUGUGUUGAUAAGAGACAUUUACCCUCCUUGCAGUGUAUGGAUUACAUUUACGGUUUAUUGUAUUGUAUAAUUUGUAUGGCUAUUGGGUUUUUACCUUUUAUGCUGAACACAUAGUAAAAGGAAUGCAAUUUAACACUUUCAAGGUUAUUAAAAUAAUUUGAGUCAAGCAGGAAUUUUUUGUUUUUUUAGAAUUCUGAUAAUUUUUUUCUCAAGUCAUGUGGCCCCAUAAUAAAAUCAGUAUAUGUACCAAACUCAAACUUUCCAUUGAUAACAAACUAUUUUAAUUAUCAAAAUAUAAAAUAAAAAAUAACAUAGUCACCAUAAUUAGGAAAUAAUGAAACACAAUUUGCUUGGUCCAGAAAAUGCCUUUUUUUUUUUGGCCAGGGGGCAAUUCUUUCUGUACAUGCCAAAGAUAACAAACAACUAUAAAUCCUGACAGCAUAUCAACAUCAACCCACCCAAUACAAAGUAUGACUCACCUCUCGGCUAGCACGGGUCCCAACAUAAACAAUGACAUUCAAGUCAGGAAGCCACUUCUUGAAUUCUUUUGCCCAGUUUGAUAAAGUCGAUAAUGGUACAACAACAAGAAAUGGUCCAUAUAUUUGUUGAGCAUUCUGUAAGAACAAAUGAAUGUUUCCUUGGAUUAUAAGUCUACAAGGAACUACAAGAAAAAAGUAAUAAUAAUAAUAAUAAUGACAACAACAAUAACAAUAAAUGAUAAUAAACACAAAAGCAAUAAUAAUACUACUAAUAAUAACUACUAGAUGCUUACCUGCAAAAACCCAAGCAUAGAAACUGACUGCACAGUUUUGCCAAGACCCAUUUCAUCAGCCAAAAUAACAUUAGUAUCAUUUCUCCAGCUGUUCUAUGAAAGAGAAGCUGAUUAGUAUAUAUGCUAAAAUUAGAAUAUUAUAUUUAAAGUACAUUUUUUUAGUUUAAACUGAUCAUUCUAAAACAAAAGAAACCAGCAUACCUGUUAACAAGAAAAUUCAAGCCUUCAAGCUGAUAAUCACGAAGUUGUCCUCCCUUUAACCACCCAGGCUGCUCAUCAAGCUUCCUUAAACUUGCUAAACAGAAAGAGUAUUCUCAAGUUAUAUAUUAUUUGUGUUAUUUGAUCAGACAUGCAAGUACCAUAUGGUUGAAAAGGAAGAAAAAGGAAAAAAAAGGGAGGAAAAAUUUUGAAGGUUUUAUUAACAAAAUAAUGUUGGUGUUUGAGAAACAAUAUGAGAAUAUACCAUUAAUGAUCAAUCAAUCCAUUCCACACUUAAAUCACUUGGCUCAAUGGCUCAAGCUUUUGUCGAAUUUUGGUGGUAAAAAUGGCUAAGGAUUAAAGAUAAAAAUCAAAGUAAAUGAUAUAAGAUAGAUUUAAGAUAAAAAUCAACCUUAAUGAAGAUUUUGAGUUAGUUUCUCACAUGCUAUGGUAUCACAGUCACUUUUUUCCCUUUUACAGAAUAAAGGAAAUUUUAUUAUCAAAGAAUGAAAGACACAUGAGCGAACUCUUCGCUUAUGAUAAGCAUUCACAUCGCAUACAGAACAUAAUUUGCAGCAAGCGGAUGACAUAGAUAGCUGCUAUAACUAGGUUUUGGGAUAAGGGUGUAUAUAUAUAUAUAUAUAUGUCACUAGCAAUAAUUGUAGGAAAGUUUCACUUUGAGACCCAUACAAAAUCUCAUGAUGAGAAUCAUAGGAAAUUUAUCCUCACAUUAAGGAAUAGAGGAUCUCAAGAUCAUUAGGAAGUAGAAAAUGGAUAGGAAGGAAAUGAAUUUCCCACAUUCAUCAUAAGCAGAAAGCAAAUGGGUUUAAGCUUGAUUAUCUGAAGCAGGAAGCAGUAACAUCUCCAAACGCUACAGAGGUUUUAAAAAAAGUAAUUCAAGUUCUACAAAAUUGUUGGGCACCAAUGUACUGAUAUGUGAUUGAUACUUCAGCAGUAAUUCCAGUUUUUUGUCAUUGAUGCUAAUAAGAACAAAUGUUGGGCAAAAGAGGCAUAAACUUUUCCUUCACCAUUUUAUUUGUACUGUAUGGUUUCUACUCUCUUCUUUCUUCCUUCUUCCAGUUGUUCAUGCAAAAACAACCAUCGAAUACAAUUUAACUAAUUCAACUUGAUCUAGGGCAAACCUCCGACAGAAAGUAAUGACUAAAAAGGUUCUCCAUCAAACCUUCAGAACAAGCUUUUAAAUACAGUUGAACUGAGUGCUCCAGAUCUUUUGAAUUUUAUUAGACCAUUAGAAGCAUUCUUAUGAUUCUUGUGCCUUUCCUAAUCAGUAAGACACUGAACAAUAUUGCAUAGCAAUCCAUAGCAGAGGUUCUCUUUACAGUGUCCAAGGUAAAGUCUGAAUAUUUCCUAGUAGGUUAGUCAGGUUGGAGAAUUCAAAACCCAUACACACCAGUUGGUUGAUGUUUUUUGAGGUUGAAGCUGUCAGUGAUUUCAGAGGCUCAGAGGUAUUACUCAUGAAAUUUUGGCAACUACUUGAGCUGCCUGGCUCAUAACCAAUCAAUAUUCAAGAUGAGCAUUACCCAUAACAACCCAUAGAGGCCAUGCUUCAUAUGAAUAAACCUAACAUUUAUUGCCAGACACAUUACAAUUAUUACAGGGGACUUCAAAACAUCACCAGUAAGGCUGUAACCAGAUUGGAGACUGACCAAACCACACUCUUUUUUUUUUGACAGUAAUCAGACAAAACAAUCUUUACUUAGAAAAUGAGUACAUUUUACUGACAAAGAAAACAAAACAAUGCAAGCAGGAUGGUUUAUAUUCAGGUCAAGAAGGAAAAAAAAAGUAGAAAAUAAUUAAAUAAAAUGAAGACAACAACACUACCCUCAAGAUCUGAAGACCCAACUCCUAUUGGUGACUUAAAAUGGCCCAUAUGGUGCUCCAGGGAUAUGUCUCCUUCCUAAGUUAAGAAUUCCACUUCAUUUACUGAACCAAGCUAACUGCACACAAUUAAGCUCCAUUUUUUAUUUUUUUUUGAUAAAUAAACACCAAAUUCAUUAAAAAUUAAAAAACACCCCCAAGGACGCCACAAUUGAGCUCCACUUCUAUCCUAUCAUAUGGUCCAUGAUCACAUUUGAUGGAUAAACAAGCCUCCAAGAUUCCAGGGCAUCAGAAAGCACCCAUGCGAUGACUGUUUAUUAGGUAUUCUAGCAAAAGCACUCCAGAAACCUGGAAACUGGUAAUUUUCCUGAGGCCAGCUAGGAUUGCCAACACCUCAGCCCUAACAGAAUCCCCCUCAACAACCAGCUCUGAGAACACAUCGACAACCUCAUCCAAACAAUUCUCAAAGAUAACCCCAACUGAUCAAUAGCUUCUUAAAAAUAAUGCCAGAUUGCCAACUAUCAUAUAAAAUAGAAAGAAGAACCAAUACUCCACAUUGUUAGUGUUAUAAAGGCAUUGUGAGGAAAUGCUUCAGUUAUCAACUAACAGAAAUAGAAUUAGAUAGGCAAGUAAGCCACUUUUCAGUUUUCACCUCAAAAACGGUGAUUAUUAUUCUGCAAGUUAUCAAACCUAGACAUAAAACCGACAAUUUGAACCAAGAUAAGAUGCGACUAAGGAACUAUACGGACCUUUACUCUUCUUACGCUGCAUGUCCACCAUUUUUCCUUGGAUGGCAGCUGCAGCUUCACGAGCCUGUUUAAAAAAUGACAGAUCAGGGAUUUCAAAGAGUAUAACAUCCAUGCUCUUAUUUAACAAGAGAAUCAUCUAUAUUGAUACUUGCAGCAAAUACAAAUAAAAUAAAGAAUGGAACAGUAAUUAAAAAGAGAUCAAUGACAAGCAAAAUUAAUGAACUGUAUGAUCAUAAAGAAAACUGGGGAGCUCUAAUAUAACUAAGAUGAUCUUGAAUUACCAUAGGUUAUGAAUCUAAAUACAUUUAGUUUAGUGAUUAGUGGUAAAACGAAUGUAAAAGCUAUAGCCAUAAAGGCAACUAGAAAGAAGAAAAAUUAGCAAAGCACUUCUAUAAUUCAACAGUAUGUGACCAAAAAAACAACCAUUUGCAUGUAUUUUGGCAGAGAAAUAAAAACAUUAAAUUGCAUGCUACCUUGUACUCAUCAAUAGCAUCUUGAGCAAAUGCAAUAUCUACAUCCUUCUCCCUAAAAUGAAACAAAUCACCAUCAUAAGCAUUACAGCUUCCACCACAGAAAGAAAUGAACAAAAUAUUGCAAGCGCCAGAAAAGAUACCAGCAGGGAAUAGAAGCAGAAGUAAUUUAGUAGCUUUUUUUAUUUUCUUUUCUUUUUUUUCUCGGAGGGUGGUGGGUGGGGGGAGGAGGGAGGAGGGGUUGGGGGAGUUGUGUGUUGAAAAUAACUAUAGUGUGUGGGUGUGUUCAAGUUUCAAAAUACCAUGUUGCUUCAGCAUAUGAGAGUCCCUGCCACUUGACUAAAUACUCUGGCAUCACAUCACCUGAGCCCUCUUUACCAAUUCUGUAUGCAAUUAUUCUCUCCACCUGCAAAUGCAUUUGAGAAACUAAGCAGAGAGAAUUACAAACUUGGAGAAGUAAUCCAAAAUAGUAACAAGGUUACAAACAAAAAACAAAAAAUAAGAUCAGUACAGCAAACCUGACUAUUUUGUUUAAUGAGGUCUAAGUCCAUUUCCUUGCUUACAUCAUUGACUUCAAUCUAAUAGGUAAACAAACGCCAAAAGAAAAAAAAAAAGGUUAAUGGGUUUCAUAUAUAUAACUCAAGAAUCAGGUUUAUUUCAUAUCAAUUUUAACUCCACUACAGAAUAAAAAAUAACAUAGAAUUAAAACUAUGAAAAGAGAUUAAUGGGUUGUAAUGCAUACGAAAUAAAUGUGUAAUUACUCAAUUCCACGCCAUAAUCUCACAUUAAUUACCAACUGUUGGCAAGUUGGCAUGAAGCAGUUCCAAAGAGAAUUAUAGGCAGAAAUGUUAAGGUUGCAUCAUUAUUAUGUCACAUGAGUGCACACAAUGAAAUUAAAAUCCGCCUACAAAAAGAGAACAGCAUUACUCUAAUUCAGUGAUUGACAGGGUCUCGAGGAGACUGGAUGAAUUGAAAAAGGUCUUUUAGUCUCUAUGGGAUAGAAUUACUCUAAUUCAAAGUUGCUUGUCCUACAUCCCUAAUUAUUUCUUACCUUUUUUAAAGAUUCCAGUGUAAGUAGUCUCUAAGAUUGAGAAAUUACAAAGAAAUUUUCUCUAGACGAGAGUUGGGGAGGGUAGAAAAGAUCAUCUCAUUGGUUGGGACCUAAGGUGUAAGCCUAAGGAGUAUGGAGGUCUGAGACUUUAGAUUGAUCUCUCUGAGGAAUUGUGCUUUCUUAAGGAAAUGGCCUUAGAGAUUCCCUAGGGAAAGUUUUAACCUUUGGCAUCAAGUUUUUUUUUUGUUUUUUUUUUAUUAUUUUUUUUUUAUGAGUAAAUCAAGAGUGUAUUAUAAACAAAAAAUGUAAAAACAGCGCUCCAAAGUACAUGAGAGGUAUACAACGAACGCUUCAAAGUGCAAAAAAAGGACCAACAAAAACUACGCUCCCUUCAAAAAGAACUCACCUAAUCCACAAAAUCUGCAAUUGAAGAAGGACCAGAAAUUAAAAACAACCCAGACCAAUCCCAUAGAUUAUAAAGAAAAGCAUGUUUUAGUCCUUCAACAGACUGUUCUUCAUUCUCAAAAACUCUUAUGUUUAUUUCCUUCCAAAAUGGUCCAAAAUAAGCAAAGAGGAGCUGCCCACUACACCUUUUUUCUCCUUUUACCAACAAAAGAACCAUUUCAUCUUAAAAGCGUGUCUCUAACAGAAGGAAGUAUCCAAAGCACACCAAACAGGGAGAACAAAAGAUUCCAUAACACUCUUGUCUUAACACAAUGGUUAAGGAUGUGAUCAAUUGUUUCUUCCUCUUCAAGACAAAGAAAACAUCUAUUUGCUAAAGAGCACCAUCUUCUCUUUAAACAAUCUAAAGUUAACACCUUUGCCCAAGAAGCCUCUCAAGCAAAAAAAACCCACCUUCAAGGGAACCCAAGAAUUCCAAAUCACACUAGCAAGAAACUGCAUUGUACUUUCUAUCUCCAAGGUCAAAUAAAGGGCUUUAACAGAAAACUUCUCAUUUUUCAAUCCUGUCCAAAUCACUUUAUCUUUUUGUUCCAUGCACGUGCUCCUCCCUUGCAAACUCAAGAGAAACCACUCCACCAAAUCCAGCUCUUAAUCAUUAAGGGCCCUAGAAAAAUGAGGGGCCCAACACCCCCCUUCAAUUGUCGAGUGUCAAACAUCCACCACCCAAUCCUCCUUAGAAUCAGCAAUAGCAUAAAGAGCAAGGUAAGAAGUACAUAGUGCCAUAUCACCACACCACUUGUCCUUCCAAAAUUUCACCCUUUGCCCACUACCAACCAAGAAAUCAACUUUAUUAUGUAAGAGCUCUCAUUCCUUUCUAAUGGCUUUCCAUAACCUUAUCCCAUAACUUUCUCUCACCACCUUGGAGCACCAGCCUCCCUCUUCCACCCCGUACUUGCCAUUAAUAACUUGCUUCCACAAAGCCCCCCUAUCCUCUGCAAACCACUAGCUCCAUUUACCUAAAGGGCUUUGUUAAGCUUAGUAAGAUUCUUUACUAGCAUUUAUGAGACAAAUCCUAAUAGAUGAUAUGCCAAUAUUAUAGUCAGAUGGUCACAUAGUUAUCUCUCAAAGGCCAUUGCUCCAGUGUUCCAGGUUUCUUCAAGUUACACUCGUCUUGUGGUGGGUGAUGAUGAAUAUUCGCUUCUAAGAGGAUUUGUGGUGGGGGGAUCAACCUUUGUGUUCACAAUUUCCAUCUCUUUAUAGAGUUGUCAUAGUAAAAGAUCUUACCAUUUCAACUAUCCUUAGCCACUCUUCUUUUUCUUCUUCUUGGAAUCUUAAUUUUUUCCGCAACCUUACGAAUUCGAAGAUUGAGGAUCUUGAAAGACUCAUGUCAUCCCUCACUCAUGCACUUGUCUUCAUCCACCCUAUAUGCGAGAGUGUGAUCAUUGACCUCUUCAGGAUUAUUUAUUGUCAAAUCAUUCUUCAUGACUUUGUCUAAUACAUCAGAUUUUGUUCUUUUCUCCUCGACUAAAUUUAUAUGGAAAUCUAAAGUCUUAUCUAAGGUUAAGGGUCUUUACUUGGUUAGUAGCACACAAGAAGGUAAAUACCAGCAACAUACUAUAAUUAAAAAGACCUUUCAAGUCCUCAAGCCUGACUAAUGUAUUUUAUUUAAGGGAGAAAAGAGUGUAGUGAUCAUUUCUUUCUACAUCGUCCGAUAACUUCGGGGCUUUGGCACUAUCUAUUCAAACAAGUCAAGGUUGUUUGCAUUCCACCCAAGAGUAUAUGCGAAUCCGCGAUAUAAUGAUCAACUCAUAUAAAGGUUUGGGGAACUCUGUUAGAAGCAAGACUCUUCGGCAAAUAGCUUGUCACACAUUACUUUGGAUUGUGUGGCAAGAGAAAAAUGUCAAGAUUUUAGGAUAAGUGAAGGAUGACAAAGGGGUUGUGGGAGUUACUACUUUUAAAGGCAUUUUGCUUAGUGUAAUCAAACUCAAUUGGCUUUUGGUGCAUAAAUCAAAAUGGUUUGGACAUCCCUAAGAGGAGUUGCGUUUGUGGUAUAAACCUUUUGCAUCGAUUCCUUUUAUGGCAAAGGAGGUCAAUCAUAUUAUGAUCAGGUUUUUUCGUAAUAGUGGGGAGGACUCCUCAUCCUUCUCAUAUUUUCAUUAAUAAAUAUAUGCUUCUCUUGUUUCUAAUCAAAAAGAAAAAAGAAAAAAGAGGAGGAAAACAGCAUUGAACUUAAAACUAGGAAAAGAGAUAAAUGAGUAAUGAUCACUAAGAACAAUCCCAUGCCAUAAUCUCACAUUAAUUACCAACUGUUCGACAAUUAGUACGGAGCAAUUCUAGAGACUACAAUACACAAAAAUGUUAACAUUGUGUCAUUAUUGUCACUCACACACACACACACUGAUCACAAUUUUUUUUUCCAUUUUUGAUAGGCAAAUAAAGUGAGAAUUUAAAAAUAAAAAUAAAAAAAAUCAGAAACAAAAGAUACAUAUUAAAUGAGAAAAGAAACAUGAGAAGGAUGAGGAAUCCUCCACAUAAAGUACAAGCCUGAUCAAAUUGAGAAUAUAUAUUAAAACCACCAAAAUGAAUAACGCACCAAUGUACAAAGGACAUAUACAACAAACGCUAGAAGGCCAAGCAAAAAAACAAAAGAAGGGAAUACAAAAAAACUACUCCCUCAACAAGCAUCCAACCAAUCUACAAAAUCAAUUAAAGGCAAAGAGUCUUCAUCUAUGCAAAACUAGAACCCCAAUAAGAGGUUGCUAAGGAAAUUGCUUUUAAGGCUUUGGUCAGAUUUCUCCUCAUUUUAAAACAAUCUUCAAUUCCUUUAGUUUCAUAUUAUCCAAAAGAAAUGCAAACAGGCACAACCCUUCAUGCCUUCUCAUUUUCCAACAAAGUGGUCAUGCCAAUCUAAGAGAGUUUCUCUAACCGUGAAAGAAAAAACCUAGGAUACACCAAACAAAGAGAACAACAACUACCUUAAAAUCCUAGUCUUGGCAUAAUGAAGAAGGAAAACAUCCGUUCACUAACAACCAUCCUCUUCUUUGGAGAUAAUCUAAAGUCAAGACCUUACCCCAACCAGCCUCCUAAGCAAAAAGGCUUUCCUUAGACAGAUCCUAUGGAUUCCAAAGUAUCCCUAGUGGAAAAGGAAUGGCACAACCUAGCUCCAAGAUAGAAUAAAGAGCUUUGAUGGAGAAACCUCCAUAACUAAAAUCGUCAAAUCACAUCCAAUAAUGCUGCCCAAUAACCCAGCUGAUUCCCUCAACAUGCCACCCAUGAGCUGCUUUUGCACAUCUUUUUAUAGGGCAAGCUAUUAUAUAUAUAAAGUGUCAAAAUAGAGGGAUUUAGAGGUUAUUUGCUCAUAUAAAACAGUAGGGAAUCGGAGACAUGCAAGAUUGAAAUAUUAAACUGGUUGCUCAUUUUGGGUGAUUCUCCUAGGUGGCAAGGAAGGGAUGGCCUUUCUAUGAGGAAAUUAGAAAGUCAUUUUUCAGUUAAUAGAUAAGGAGGAGAACUCCAAACAAUUUAACUACAGAACUCAAUAAAGAUUGUUGAUCAGGAGCUCUCCCAAGAUUGGAUUGUUAACUGCAUCACCAAUUUAACUUUCAUUAUCCUUUUCCUAGAGAAAGUUAGAUCUUUAGCAAUCAGACUUUAGACCCAUAUGUAAAAAAUUCUAGCUAAGGUCCUCUCUAAAUGAUCCUAUAAGGUGCUCCAUGAGAUAAUGUCCCAUUGCUAAGGAGCCUGCAUCAAGAGUAGAAAAAAUCUUCUGGGCAUCCUAAUGGCAAAAUGGGUCAUCAUUAAGGUGGAUUCAAAAAAAUGCUUGUCAGUUUCAGUGCUUGUUAAUGGGCAAGCUAGGGGUUGGAUUGAGACCACAAGAGGUAUCCAUCAAGGAGGCCUUCUCUCACCAUCCCUUUUUACUAUAGUGGUGCAUGCUCUACUAGGAUGAUUCUUAGAACUAAAGUGUUGUCUUGUUGAGGACAUUGACAUUGGAAGGGAUCCUGUGAGGAUGUCUCAUCUGCAAUUUGUUGAUGGAACUAAUUUCUUCUCUAAUGAUUUGAUUGAGAAUGUCUCCAAUCUUAAACUCAUUCUGGAAAGUCCUCAAUCUGGUUGCAACCCUUAAGAUUAACCCAUUUGCAUGUUCCUCUUGCUGCUAAACCCAAAAUAUCAAUUUUGGAACCCGACUGUUAAGAAAUUUUUAGGAUGCUUAAUGAGCAGAAAAAAUCUUAUUUGUCCUCAGAUGUUCUGAGGAUGGGAGCAGACACUGAGAUUUGAGGUUUCUUAGGAGUUCAAACGGUUGGCUAAGAUAUGAGUCCUUUCUCUUGUUAAUUUUGAGUUUUGAUACUUCAUUCCCACAGGGAUGGAAAGAAAAAGGUGUCCUGCAACAAAGAAUUUCAUUUUCCUUCUCUUUCUAUAGUCCUAAAUAUUUUUCAUUUACAAGGGUUUUUCAUCUUUUAUACUUUUUUUUUACUAGAAACAAGAUUAUUCAUUUCAUCAGAAUUUGGUAAAUACAAUGAAAGAUAAGAGUCCUUCCAAGAUUUACAAAAACACUGAUGAAAAAGAAAAAGUAUGACUAUAACUCCAAAUAUAAGCAAAAACCAAUUGCACAUCUUAUAGAGGAACCAAAAACAAAGGACAACCCAAGACCACACUACACAUCUCAAGGGGGUAAAAAGAAGCAACAUCUUUUUGUAUAUUUACCUACUUUUAUCAAUACAAUAUAAAUAUACUUUUUUACCUACAUAUAGGAAGAAGCAACAUCUCUCAUGUGCAGUAAAUAAAGACACGAACUUUUUAGAGAAGAAAAGUCAACAAUUUUCCAAUCAUUAAUAAUAUUGCAUAAGACAAGCUCCACUAAGGAUAUCGAAGUAGAAAGUAUAAAGGUUUACAACAGCAGUGUCUUUUUGCCUCAAGAGACCUCACAACCUAUCCAUACCCUAAGGGGUAACUUUUUCCCCUAUGGAAAAGAUAGUCAAUUAUUUCUCACAAAAUAACAUUUGAAACAUAAAAUUUGUUAUCUUCAAAUUAAUUUGCAAACCAUAAAGUGAAUCUGAAAUUUCUUAGCAAGAUUUGACAUGAAGAAAACCAUAAUGAGUGCUUUAUAAAGAUUUAAAAUGGUGAUUAAAAGUGAAGUUUACACAAAAGCACAACUCAGUUUUCCACCAUAAACCAAGCAACUUUUUGCACCAUAUUUCUUUUUCUCAUCCUUGAAACAGUUGGGAGAAGUGGAGAACAUGCAUAAAAGAUUUUUCACAAAACAAUGAAAGGCUCAUAAGCCCUGCAUCCAAACCAUAGUCCACAGUGAAACAGUAAAUCAGGUGGUUUGAACUUCUAUUAAAUGAGCUAUGACAAUAUUUGACAAAUUUGCCAUCUUAAAUUUCAUAAAAAUAAUUGGGGUGGAAAAGAUAAACAGGCAGGCUUUCGUUAUAUGCAAGAUAACAGAUAAGUUUCAAGAAAUAUAUGCCACUUCUUUGUUACAUUUACACAACAAAACAGUUUGUUUCCACUUGUGGUAGUAAUCUGCCUUCCAAGAAGCAACAGAAUUCUACACCAAUCAUUUCAUCCUUUUUUUUCUAUAGCAUCCCUCAUUUACGGCUAAACAUUUGAAGAUGCAACUUCAUUGCUUUAACGAAAUUCAUGCACAAGUAGACAUUAUGAAGGAAAGUCUCAUAUCUAAACUUGCAAAUACAAAAAUAACGAAGGGUAGACAUUACCUCCUCACGUGAAAACAUGUUCCUGUACUUCACUUCCUCCAUCACUUUUUUGGUGUAAUUUAAAACCUUCUUAAAACCACUAAGCUGCAAUUUACAAAGACAAAUAUACAUAUACAUAUAUAUAUAUAUAUUAUGAGACACAAGAAAGGAGUUUCAGUAUAAAAUAAAGCUCUACAAAAAAAUGCAUUCAACUAAAAACAUCUUAACACAUACAAAAAACCCACAGAGUGUUCAAAAGGCUUACAUUUUGUAGAUCAGAAAAUGAUUUCCACUGACAGUGCAAAUGAGACUGGCCUUUCCAUUUUAUUAAGAACUCCAUCUCAUUCCAGUUGGGUUCAAAGUCAAACAAGUGGCUUAACAGAAUGGGCUCUGUUGAUUUAUUAUUCUUUAGAGCCUCGUCAGCCAUGCCUUUUGGCUGAUGCCAAAGCACCUUUUCGAUUGAAUCGCAAUCUUCCUCUUCAAUUUCCUCCUUCAGAAAAUAAUAACAAUAAAUGAUGAGAGGUCCUUCCACUGAUAAAAACCAAAUAGGAAAGGAAACAGGAAAAAAGGGUGAAAUUCUGUGUGUGCACAUGCAUGUCCCAAGGUGAGGGGGUGGCCUUCUCUUUGUAAGCACAUUCACACAAGGUAUAUGGCCUGGGCUAGCACAUAAAUAACAGAACUACUGUCAUUCAUUAGAUUGGUAAAAUUAAAAAAAUUUAUUAGCACUCAUCCACUAGAGUGUAAUUGUCAUUUGUAUUUCUAAUUCAUUUUUUAUCAUACUUUCUGUAGUCCCUCUGUAUAUAAGUGGUCCCCCAUUAUUUGUUAACAACUCUUUAAUAUAUCUAUAUUUGCCUAUCAAAACACAUGCAUACACGAAAGCACACACACAUAUAUUAGCAUGCAAGAUCACUCCACAAGCAGAUGACAGCACCAAGACAAGAAACCAGUUCCUAAUUAUUCAUAAUUAAAAUUCACCACAUUUUAGACUUCAUCAUAUUCCACCCUAGCCACAAUCAUACUUCACUUUCCAAUGUCUUCAACAUGUUGCAUGUUUUAUGUUUCUUCUCUGUAAAAGGACAAUAUGUCUCUAAAACAUCAUCAAGGGCAAAGAGAGGAAAAUAUCAAAGAGCAGCAAAGCAGAAUUCAACUUGGGUAAAAGCCUUCCAUAUAGUCUUUCAAAAUAUCACUGCCAAUUCCACUUAAUGUUAUUCUACUUAGUUGGCUUUUGGUUUGUAAUUCAAAAGGGGUGGAUAACAUUUGAGAGAGUUUGAUUUUGGUUUUUGAGAUAUUCUGUACAUGCUUUUAUCAGUAGUUCUCCUUGUACAGUAGAGGAGUAUAGUCUUUGAUCAGGUUUUGUACUUUGUGGGAAGGAUCUCUCAUCCUUCUCUUCAACUUUACUAUUAUCAAUAUAUAUUGUUUAUGAUAAAAAAAAAAAAAAAAAAAAAAUCACCACUCUAUCAUCAAGAUAUCUGCUUACAGACCAGCCAAUAACUGAGUCCAUAAACACGUGAUAGCAUGUGAUAAAAAUCUCAAGUACAACCCAAGUAUAUCUCAUGAAACUUGUGAGACUGCAAAUGUUCAAUAAAACAAAAUAGAUGGUACACCCAAAAAUUUCAUUCCAAGAGAUCUCCCUUAACCCCAUCAACAAUUCCAUAAUACUUCUUCAAUGCAUCCCCUUAGCUUGCUAGUUUGAAGUGGAAAAAAUGGUAUUCACAAGUGAUUAAGUAUGCCCCUCGUCCCAAGUUGGCCAAAUUAUCAUGAAAAAGACGAUUAAAAAGAAAAAUCCAUCACAAGCUAUGCAAUGAGGCUAGGAAUUAGCCACAACCCCAGGUAGUAACAAGUAUGCUAGGCCUAUGAUUUCUUGGGGGAAUUGCCCAAAAAGGACAUCUGAGUUAGAUUCUUUGCCAAAUAGCUCUCACAUUGGGAUAUUUCCCAUCCCAGGAUUUCUUUUCAUCCAAAUAAAUCCACAAAAUCGCACUUCAUAGCUGAUACACAGUAUUUCAAACAUAAAAGAUACAUAACCCAAAACGAUGUAAAACCAGGCAAUUAAUAAAACACUAAUCAACCAGUGAACUACUCCACUUUGCACAAGAUACACUAUUGAAUAAUGGGACUUUUAGGGCUUCCAAUCAGAAUAUUAUCACCAGUAAUCAAAUUUUUUUUUUUUUUUUGGUGCUGAUUUAACGAAGCAAAGGCUUGCUUUAAAACUUUAAAUCAACAUAGAGGAGAGAACAUGAUUUUUUUUUUCCCCUUUUUUUGAUAGGCUACAUAGGGGAGAGAACAUGAUUGCCAUUUUGGUUUUUAACAAAAUGGGAAAAUACAUCUAUCUAUCUAUCUAUCUGGGGAGAGAACAUGAUUGUCAUUUUGGUUUUUAACAAAAUGGGAAAAUCUGUCUAUCUAUCUAUCAAAUUUGGACAGGAAGAAUAUCAAAUUUGGACAAGAAGAACCAUCCUUCAGUCCAUGUUAGCUUUUUUGCACUUUGAAACCUCUAACUUGCCCAAGUUCAGUACGUCCAAAUGGUAUAUUUGAAACUGUGCAUCCCUCCUUCCAAGCACUAAUAGCCUUAAAUUCUCUUUGUAUCAGCACUUCACUACUAUUAUUUGCUAUGUCCACUGUCAUCCUACGUUAUUUUGCAAUCAGAGCUAUAGUUCAGCAUGUCAACAAUAGAUAAGAAUCUAUUGGGGAAACCUAUGUGGAGAAGAAAGUUUAGCUGUUGAUUGUAAAUGGGAGUGAGAGUUACAAAGUGUGUUGGAUAGAGAGGUUGAUGAAGAACAGUCCAUGGAUACUUGUAAGCACAAUAGACCUCCUAGGGAAAUUAUUAACCCCCAAUUUUUCAGCACUAAUCAUAGUAAUGAAAUGUUUGUUUCUCUUCCAAAAAAUUGAUAAAUAAAUAAAUAACUUUGCACUCAUAGCCCUAAAUUCUCUUCUUAUCAGCACCUAGCCAUCAUCCUUAUUCUGCUAGGAUUUGUCAAUUAGGGGUGUCUGUAUAAGCUUGUAAUCUUUUCUUUAAAGGAUAUUAAUAAUAGUAUAGCAGAAUUUUCAGCAGCUUUGGAGAGAUUAAGAAUUAAGUGAUACAACCCUAAAACUAGGUGUGAUACUGCAAGGUGUGAUGCUAGUAUUAUUCUAGUAGCUAUUACAAAAGUAGACUCAAUGUCUCUUAUUGAUUUUGUAGAUUGGGCAGGUUCUUGGUGAGGGAGAGAGCGGCUGUUUUUGAUUGCCCUCUUCGGUUGUGCCUUUUGGUAACCUUUGGAUAUGUCCUAUAUACCUUAGCAUAUAGCAUCUUUGUUUGUUAUUUAUACAAAUUACCUUUUUACUUAUCAAAAAACAUUCUAGUAGUUUCUCCAUUUUGUUCUCAAUUCUCUCUAAUUCUUUUUAAAAAAUAAUAAUAAUAAAAAAUCUGCGAUCCAUCUUUAAACUUUCAUUGUCAAUCACCAUUUAAACCUUCAAUUAGCUACUUCCAUAGCCAACACCCACUGCAGCCAAGAUCUAUUUAAAGCCCUAAACCAUAUCCAAACAAGCCUCCUUUACUAAAUCUUUUCUUUUCAGAAAACUGGAAAAAUGCAUUAAGGACAAGAAAUGCAAUGCCAAGACAGUGCAAGGCAUUAAGCAUUUGCCAUAAUAGUAACUAUGAAGCUAAGGAAGUCAUUAAACCUUGAUUGGUGGAUGUUACCAUGGAAAGUAAACGACCUUACGAUGGCAUGUGCAAGGCUUGGACAAAACACAAAGAGAAGUACGGAAAUGGCAACUUUGUGCCUAUAUUGGUAAAUUUGGAAAGAGAGGAAUGCAAGAGUCUUCAAGGAAGAGGAGCUUCCUGAUUAGAAGUUGAAAGGGUUUCUCACGGAUCCCUUUCGAAAUGGUCUAAAGUUCCUUUGGGGCUGGUGAACUGCUCUCUUUUGGACUAUAUUGAUGGAUUGAAUUUGAGCUAGAACGUAGCUUUUGUAGUUUUCCAUGUUCUUUUCUUUUUGUGGUGAUUUUUGUACACUCCUUCCAAUGUACAGGUGUUGUACCACCUUUCCUUAGGCAAUUGUUUAUAAAAUACUAUUUGCCUGUAAAGAAUAAAAAAGAAAUGAUUAAACUUUAAUUAAAUCCCAGUCUACUCCAAUUUUUUAGCACCCAUAGCCCUAAAUUCUCUUUACAUCAGCUUUUGAUUGCUAUCAUUGCCACUUCCUUUGUAGUCUUACAUCAACAUUCUAAACUAUGUAAACUUCAAAACAGAAGAUAUUGACACAAGCUUCAUUAGAGGCAUAAACUAAAAAGGGAAAAUAAUAAGUACAUUGCUAUAAUGUAAUAGGCAAGCAGAAUGCACCUUUUGGCUCUUUUUCUUCUUGCCUUCAUCAAUUUCUUCACUUUCCUCACUUUCAACAUAUGAUACCUUCCUCACUGAUCUACUUGAGGUGCGGAGCUCACUGUUCCGUCCAAUGAUAUUUGCUGUAGUACUGGACUGACCACCUUUACUUUUUCGGAGAUGUGCACCUCUCCUUGUCAUGCUUUUGAAAUCCUCAUCACUAUCAUUUUCAGAAUCCUUUUCAUAAGAAUCUUCAUCUUCCAAUAACGUUCUGCCUCUUUUUCUUCGACCAGGUGCAGGGAAUGAUUUAUGCUCUUUCGUAGGUUUUAAACCACGUCCACUGUUACCUCGUAGUCUACCCUUGGGUUUCUUCAUAUAAUAUGCAUCAUCCUCAUCUGAGACAUCUAGAUCAUCAUUGCUAUUAUCAUCUUCAUCAGAAUCUUCACCAUUCCAGUCCUUAUCCUGGUACUGUUGCCCCAAGAAGAGAAAAAAAAAUGUUAGUUCACUGAAAGUUCACUUUCUUUUUUCCUUUUUUUUAAUAAUGAAAUAAAUUCCCUGAAAUAAGUUAAAAGGACAAGAAAUCCUUCCAAGACAACAAGGAUCUAAAAAAAAAAAAAGAGUAUAAUAAGCUUCCAAAACUAUGCAUUGCACUAGGCUUUUAAAGCAAGCACAUGGUAGGGACAAUGAAGUACAUCAUAUACAUACAAAAAACCAAGUAAAGAAGAUGCCUUGAGGCCUAGCUCAAGUGGUAAACAGUUGGGGUGGGUUUAUUAAAGGUUUCAGGCUCAAAUCCCAAUGGGGACAAAAAAAGAAAAAAAAAAUACCUAUAAGAGGGGAAAAAAAAAAAAAAAAAAAGGUAAAGAAGAUAAACACAUAUUUAUCUUCACAAAUGUGUACGUAAAUUGUAGCAGCAAACAUCAGAAAACUAGAAAGGCAUAGAGAAUACUAGUGUCCAACCAACUUAUGGACAGACAAUAGAGUGUAGCUAUAGGCUUAAAAGCCCAUAUAGACCUAGCAAAAUAUAAUUCCCUCAGAGUGGAACUGAUCAUAAACAAAAUCCAUCUCAAUUUUAUAGAUCCAUGUCUCUUAUGAAGAGAAAUGACAUUGUUUUUUCAUAAGGAGCAAUGCUUUAAAAGGAUAAAGGUGGUCUUGAGACGUUUUGCCCAAAUGAGGCGAGGCGUAAGCCUCAAGGCAAAAUGAGGCAUAAGCCUCAACUUAAACGAAUAAAUAAUAAAUAAUUAUCAAUAAAUAAAUAAAUAAAUAAUCUCAUAAAAUCACAAUAAAAUUGGGCAUAAACUUCAUAAUGAUUAAAUUAAUUAUUUUUCAUUGUUAAUAAUUCUAAUUUAGUUCCUUUUUCUCUCAUAAAAUUUAGCUCUCUCUCAUGGUUUUACCAAAUAAUUUUUAACAUUAUUAUUACAAUCACCAAGAUCCUCCAAGGAAUAUAAUAAUAUCAAAUUGCUAUAAUAUCCUCCCCAUUUGCGCUAAUAUCCAACCAUCCCUCUUCUUUGUCCACCAAUUGUAGUGGUAUCUUUUUUUAUCCAUCAAUAAUUAAAUUAUAUAUGAGAUCAAACACUAAGAGUGUCAACAAUUCCCUUAUUCUUCUCAACCUCGUUUUCCCUUCCAUUUACAUUUUAAAAGUUAACUGAAAGUUAAUUAAGCCUUCAUUUUGUAAAGGGUUUAACCAAGUAGGGACCCAAUACAAAAUGCAUGAAAUCUAUAUUAGAAAUCCACAAAAGCAUAGAAAAUUGAACCCAUUAAAACUCAUUGAAUAUUAAGAUUUAAGCCUCUUAUAAAAUAUAUACCAAAAGUCCAUAAAGGCCAAAAACCCUUUGAAUAUUCAAGUCUAAGGCCUCAACAGCCAUGAGGCUAUAGCCUCAAAGCUAUAAGCCUUGAUAAGUGAGGCUUAAGCCUCAAUUACCUUAACUGAGGCGAUAGCCUCAAGGCUAAUUUGUAGAGCCUCACCUUGAGGCGAUCCUCAAGGCGUAAGCCUCAAUAGCCUUUUAAAACAUGGAUAAGGAACAAUGGAAUUGCAUAACAGGGUUUUCUUUAUCUUUUCUUCCCACCAAUGAGAUAAAUAGAGUUCUAAUAUGAUAGACUUAUUUGGAUAGACCCAAAAAGAGUCAAACACCUAAAAACAUACUAAAACAUAAGUUUUAAGCCUGAAUUUUUCUACAUGACAUUCAAAGAAAUAAAAAUAAUACAAAAUAUGAUUUUUUUUUUUUUUGAUAGGUAUAAAAAAAAUAUAAAAAAAUUACAUUUUGUAAAAAUAAUAAAAAAUAUGAUAUAUCCAUUACUAACAGCUGAGUCCUCUCCAAAUCACAGGAGAUAGUUGCCCAUCAUCAUACAGCUCACGUCAUGCUUACACAUUCAAACAAUCUUUUAGAGAAGCAUCAAGUGAUCCAGCUCAACAAACCAAGUGCCAACAAACAUUUUAAAAGCUAAAGGUGGUUUUGAGGUGUUUUGCCCAAAUAAGGAGAGAGAUAAGCAUCAACGCAAAAUGAAGCAUAAGCCUCAACAUGUCCAUUGAAACUACAUUAACACAAAUGACAGUAUCUAAGCUCAGACUAGAAACAUAAGCUUUUUCAAAAUGUACUUAUGAAAACCAAGCUUUUGUCAUGGACAGUCUCUUAAAUUGAUGUUCCCAAACAACGGUGAUAAUGAAAAAGAAGCCCAGGUUAACAAAAGUUAACUUCUAGAUUGAAUAUCGAUUGCUUUAAAGGUAGAAUUAACUAGUAAGAGGAAAACUUAACUUAAAUAAUAUCAGUUAAGACCCAUACCCAACCGUGUAGAUAUUGUCCGCUUUGGGCCCAAGGGAACCCUCACGGCUUUAAAACGCGUCUACUUGGUUAAAAGGAGUUUCUACAUAUAUAGCACUAGGAACAUUCUCCCCUAUCCGAUGUGGGACAUCACAAACACCCCCCAUACAGACACAACGUCCUCGUUAUGUCCCAUGGGAUUGCGGGGCUAAACAAACAAACACCCCUUACGGGGCCAAACAAACCCCCACACCGGGGUUGGGGAUCGGCUCUGAUGCCUUCUCUUACACCAAGAGUUUAGGAAUUUUCUAGGCCCAUGAGUUUGUAGUAGGAAUCUUGUGGGGGUUGUUUGGAGUUAGAGAUCUUAUGGCUUUACUUUUGUGUUGUUCUUCUGUUUUUAUUUGUUUGGUCAUCCUAAAUCAUCCCUUCAACCUCUUUUCUUGCUAAAAAAGGGGGGGAAAUCUAUUUUCCAUUAAAAAAAAAAAUUCUUCUGAACUUCAAUUAUCCAUGAGAAGGAAUUAGCAAACAUAACUUCACAAAAUUUUAAACAUCCAAGAUAAGGUUCCAGUUGAUAGUUCACAGAUGUUUGGGAUCAAAAACUUCCCUCAUUGGUAGGCAUUUUAUAAAAAUAAAAAAAAAAGUUUACUUGCCUGUCAUAAACAAACUGGGAAAGUGCAAUCCAACAAAACUAGAUAGAGCCUAAAACUGCCUCUGCCUUAGACAUGUAAUUCCAAAGCCUUACCUUGGGUUCAUUGCCCUCAUCCUCUUCCACAUUGUUGUCCACCACCCUUUAAUCUAAACAAACCCAUCAAAAUCCAAAUUCAUGCUGAAAACUUUUCUCAAGAACACCUUCUCCACUAAAACUGUGCUAGGACAGCCUUAUAUAUAUUUAUAGGUAAAGAAAAGUCGUCUAAAAUGUAAAGAGGAGACACCAAAAACAAUUUUUCACAAAUAUAUGGUCAUCUUGGACAAAGGGCAGGGGGAUAACUGACCACAAAACUCAAAUGUUGUGUAAUGUAUGCAACAUAUUUUUUUUAUAUAUGGGUAUCAAAUAUAUUAAAAGUGUCUAACAAAGGGGGGCGCAAAACGUAUACACAGUGUCUACAAAGGUGCCAAAAGGCCAACCAAAGCUAAGGGACAAACAAAUGUAUGCAUCAUAGAUUAACAAAAAUUGAAGCAACUUCUUUACAUAAAUGAAAACUAAGGUCCCACUUGCCUCUAGCAAAGAAAGCUCAUCUCCCUUUACCAAGGAAAAAAGGAAGGACAAAUAAAUGAAGCAGAAAGCAGAUUUGGAGAAUGAGGAGCAGUAUAUCCAAAUUUUGAAGAGCAUUUUCCUCAAUAAUCUCCCUCUGUGGGUACAGUUGUAUCUAGGUGAAGGCACAAUGUCUCUAAUGGAAUUUGUUGACUGGUUGAGUUUUUGGUAAGGGAGGGAGUUGUUUUUUGGUAAUCCCGCCUUGGUUGUUCCUUCGCUUUUCUAUUGUUUUCUUUGGCACCUUUCAUAUACUUCUUGUGUUUGGCCUUGGUACCUUGUAUACAUCGUGUAUACUUUUGUGUGCCCUUCUUUAGGCGCUUUUAAUAAAAUUGCUUUUACCUAUAAAAAUAAAAAUAAACCUUCCUAUGUGCCUUGAUGUGCUCUUUCUUUGGUGCAUGUUUACAAUAUCUCAUCAUUACUUAUCAAAAAAAAAACAUAUAUUUGUAAACUGUUCCUCCAAAAUAUCUCUGAAAACAAGACAAAGUCUGGAAAAAUCAAAAAACAAUGAGGGAUUUGACUGCAACUAGUGUAGGAGUUCGGGUUUACUAUGGUAAAAUGGGGAAUUAUGAUAGCCAGCCAUGUCUGGGUUUGACUCAUGCUUGGAUUGGAAUAUUAUUUUAAGAACUGGCAUGGUUAAUUGUAGACUACCAACGGUUUGUGGGUUAGUCAUGUUUAGGGUCCAAAAGUUCAUUUUUUGCAAUUCCUCUGGCUGGAAGGGAGAAGAACUUUGAGAGAACACCCUCUUCAGUUAUUAUAUCACUCUUAUAUGAAAAAUGAGUAUGGAGACAUGAGAUGAAGCAUAUUCUGUAGAUGUUAUCAUAAAGGGAAAUAACUUACCAAGUGCUCUACUAUUCAGGAUCCUAUGCAUUUAUCACUUUAUAUUUAUUGAUCUUACUUUAUAUUUGCUAACUGUUUACUGAUCAGGAUCCUAUGCAUUUAUCACUUUAUAUUUAUUGAUCAUACUUCAUAUUUGUUAGCUGUUUACUGAUCAAAAAAUAUAUUUGUUAACUUUUUCGUAAUUAGUUAUUUCAAAUUUUCUAGUUUCAAUUCCUAGCACAAUUAUGACCCACUGCUGCAUUUAUUAAGUUGGAAAAGGAAACUAUUACCGCCAACUUUACCACCAUACUAAUAGAAGCACAUAAUAUUAUGUUAACAAAUGGCAGAUCUAGAGUUAAGCCUCUGUUCAGAAAAAGGAUUUAGCAUUAUGCUAGGAUAGAUUUUUUCAAACAGAUUAAUUUCUCUUCCAAAGUUUUCCUUGACUAUUUUUUGUGCUUUGAAAGUUAUCGUCCAAGUGAUUUAAUUUCAAUUUUCCAAUAUGAGUAGUUUCAAAAAACAAAUAUAACUUUUAUAACAGUAGUCAAAAAAAUGCUCCCUUCAUCCUAAAAAUUAAACUAAAAUCGAGAUCCAUGUCCCUACCCAGAAUUUUAUUAUUGGGGUUUGUUUUUAUUUGAGAGACAAAAAUAGUGAUAUACACACACAUAUAUAUACAUAUAUAUAUAAACAGGAUUGAGUUUCUAAAUCGCAUGUGAUAUAAAUUUCUAAACAACAUUCAUAUGCAUUUUAUUUAAAAUUCGCAUAUUUGGGACUGAACAUCGAGAUGCAGAUUUGUCCUAAAGUCAAAACCCCAUUACCAAAUAAAUUUCUAAAUUGUAGGUGCCAUGGAUUGCUAAAUAACAACAUAUAAUUGUUAUUUAAAAUCCAUAUCUUUGGGAACUUAACAUCCAUUUACAGAUUUGUCCUAAGAUCAAAAUCACAUUUUCAGAAGUCUUACCAAAUCAACAUAUUGGCUUGGGGCCUCACACCCAAAUCCAGAACCCUUAAAGUCCAGUUCCAAGUGUUACCUAAAUCUAGUACUAUGUGCAACAAUUAAAAAGAACGAUAUCCAACUAAUACUUCAAAUAUAAUUAAUUAAAAUAAUACAGAAAAUCUGAACCUUGUUGGCAGUUCUGCUGCUAGUGACACCAUAAUCAGGUUCAAAAUCUGCAUCAUCAGGAUCAUCUUCUGCAGCCAACAAGAGAAACAAACACCACAUGUCAUGAAGAAAAUUAAUGCAUUGCAAUAGAAUAAAAGUGUAUGUAUAGUUAAAAUAAAAAAAAAAUUUGAAAAAAAAAUGCACACACUAAAUAUUAACUAAAUGACUUAUAACAAAAACAAAAGGUCAAAUGCAAUUACCAUCUUCCUCUUCCUCAUCCUCAUCUUCAUAAUCAGCAUCACCAUCAUUAUCACCAUCCUCGUCAUCAUCAUAUUCAUUAUCAUUUGAAGCUUUUGAAUUCCGAGCCAUGUUUACAGCAACAGGUCUUGACUGUGGUUGUGAGUUUAAGACACUGGAAUGAUUUAAACCUCUGUAAUGUAACGAGUCACUUUGGUCUUCCCCGUCCUGUUCGUAGUAAUCAUCAGAUGACAUCUCAUCUGCAGGAACAUCAUUUUGACCCUUCUGAACCUUGUCAACUUCCCUGCCAUCAGAUGAAUUGUCUUCCAAUGCUUCCUCAUUUUUACAAUCAAAACGACAUUUUGAAUCCUGCUCAGAUUCAGAACCAUUCCGAUGACCCAUGGGUUGGCAGUCUUUCCAAAAGGUUGAACCCCACUUCCCUGCCAUAGCUGUUCUCCUUCCAGAGGGCUGCAAAUUUGAUAUUCUCAAACCAAUAUCAUCAGCAGCUGCUGCCUCAUUUUGCAGCCCAGCAUCAUUUGUAUCACCAUCACUUUGAUAUUGCCCAUCCACCUUUGAUUCAAAAUCCUUUUCACUUGAAGUCGCAUCUACAUAUUCAUUUGCUACUGAACUGUGAACUCUAUCAAUGUUUUGCCCUUGGCCCUUCUCAUCCAGGACACUCUGUGCUACCGUUUCAUUCGAGUAGUUUCUAAAGAAAGCCAUCCUUUUACAUGGAACUUAUUUGAUAGUCACUUCAAAUCCUAUACUGCAAAAACUAAGUGCUUCAAAGAGAGUUAUUUCCCAGUCUCUGCAGAAAGCCUGCAUGACAAAUAAACGGCAAUUAGUCAGUUGAAGCCUGAAUGAACAUCAUGCAAAUCUAGAUAGGAAAAACACAUAAGCCAAUAUAGUCCAGUAAAGCAAGAAAAGCUGACUCCAAACUUUCUAUUUGGAUUAGAAAAAUGCUGGAGAAAGAAAAGAAACAAGAAUUUCUGAUCCUAGAUUUUAGUUUAUUAUCAAGGAGUCUAACAUGACUAACUGGCUCAGUUGAUAUUGGUUUUCAUCUUUAAGAUACCAAAACAACAUGAAAGCUCUUAAGGCUACUUGAAAUUGGACACCCACAAAGCAAUCCUAGAGAAAGAAAAUGCCCCCCUCAGUUAAGCUUACAUUGCCUGAAUACCAAAGCUACAUAACCAUGCCAGAAAUAAAAGUAAAUUAGAGGUGAGCUCUGGUCAUUGUUGGAACUGACAAAGGGUGCCAUACUAGAGUAAAACUCAGACAUUUAAGAUACAAAGAACAAAACCUUCAAAAUACCAAGUUCUCGCCCCAAAUAUAAUCAUAAACAAGGAACUGCAAUCAGAAUUCAGUAUCCAAAACAGUUCAAAUGAAGCCAGCACUGGAACAAACUCAACACUCAAUUUGAGGCCGAAACAUUCAAAGUCUCAAGCAAAUCUGAUCAUGAAAUCAAAAAAACUCACCAAUGCCCAAAAAGAAAUUAAAUGAACAAAUUAAAGAGACUCAUCAACGGAUCCAUAAAUUCAAAAGUGGAAUCAAAUAAAUUGAAUCGCUAAACCCAGAAAAAUUCCGAUUACCGAACCCUAGACCGCAUUCAAACCCUAAAUCCACAAUCAAAAACCCUAAAUCAGCACCAAACCACACUGAAGCAAAGCAAUCGAAGCCGAUGCUUCAUCGGAGACACUCACCUCCACAGAGGGGCGAAACUUCGACUGAUUACAGAUCAAUCAAUAUAUAUGGAUAAACAAAGAGACGAAAGAGAGCGCAGGUUAGCAAUCGUGCGGACGGACCUUGCCGGAAAUGACCGCCGGCACCGGAAAAUGACGAAACGCAGAGUUUCGGUCUCCUCCGGGAGAUAAUAUCGGGAGGGGGCGGCGGUGGCUAAUCUGCACGGGGUGGUGAGGAUAAGGAUCCGAUUCCGGUUCAAAGCUAUAGGGUUAAUUCGGAUUUAGCGACUCGGCGAUGUCCAGAGAGAGAGAAAGUCUAGAGAGAGAACCUUUUUUUUAGAGAGAGAAAGAGAGAUAAUAGAGAGGCUGCCAAGAGGCAAAAAUGAAAAAUAAAAAAAAUAAAAAAGGGUGAUUUCCAGUAUCGUAGUUUUUUAUUUUUUUUAUUUUUUUAUUUUUUUUUUAAUUGGAGAAACGUGUUUAUAGAGGAGCCUCCUCGCUCUUUCAAGUCUCCAAGCCAAACGAUACACUUUCUCUCUCUCUCUCUAGGUAUUUCACUGGCCGGCUUCAGUCUCGCCGGGGGUGCGUGAUUCGGCCAUGUGUCCUAAUUUGGGAGGGGCCGAUGAAUCUGGCGGCGGAGGGUUAUUCGAGUCUUUUGGGGCGUUCACGCGGUUCUGGGGUUGAAACGGCGGGUGAUAUAUUUGACUGAAAUUACCAAAUUACCCCAAAAGGGGUCAAUUUUGGGCCUUGAUGUGUGAGGUUAUUAACUUAUUAUUGAAACUCCAAAUGUAAAAAUGGACUAAAAGUAUGGGUUAGGGUCCCAAUUUCAAAAGCUACAAUGUUAAUACCCUAUCUAAGGGUAUUUCCUUUUGUACCAUUGGAUUUUGAUUUAUGUAUUUAGUGCUUUCCAAAUUAACUGAUGAAUUCUAUAUUUGUUGCCCUAAGGAAAGAAAAAAAUUAUUAUUUGAUUUCAUAAAAGUACAAAAGAAAAUAAAAUAUAAUUAAAAUUAAUUUCAUGUAUGAUUUUAUGUAUUUUAAAAUUAUUUAUUUAAAUAAUAAAUCAAAUGAAUUCUAAUAAAUAUAUAAAAACAAUCUAUUAAUUUUAAAUCUAUUUUUUAUUUAUUUAGGUUUUUUUUCAUUUUAAUUUUCUUUAUCUCACAUUUUUCUACAAAUUUUUUAGAAGUCAAAUAUAAUUGAAAAGAUUUUUAAAAUUUGAGAAAAAUUGAAAAAUUAAAAAUUAAAAAUUUAAUUUAAUUAAUAAAUUAUUGUUAUACAUUAGUUCAAAUUUAUUUUAUUUACUAAAUAAAUUAUGUUUAUAUAUUUUAAAUUUUUUAUCAAGUUUCACUUAAGUCGUUAAGAAAAUUAAUUAUUAACAAUGAUUUUCUUGUUAAGGUUUUUCUAAAAAAUUUGAAGCAUAUGGAAAAUCUUUUUUCUUAAACAAUGUUUAAUCUCAUGAAAGAACAACGAAGAUAAGGAAAAUAAUUUUCUCAUAAUGAUUUUUCUACAAAAAAAAUUGAAAAAAAAAAAGUGUUAAAUAUAAUUAAAAUUAUUUAAAAACUUUUAUAUUUUCAAAUGAUUUAAUCUUUAUAUAAAAAAAGUUGAAAUAAAUGAAAUGGAUUUAAAAUAUCAUAUAAAAAUAAUUUAUCCAUUUUAAAUCUAACUUUUAUUUUCCUUUUCGGUUUCUUUUAUUUUGUUUCCUCUUUAUUUUCUUUUCCCUAUACUUUCCAUCAAAUUUUUUGAUGGCCAAAGGCAACUUUAGUUUUUUUUUUUUUUUUUUUCCUUUUUUGAGCACUUUAACUUCCUUUCUAAAAAGCAAGAUAUAUUAUGGAUUAAAUUUUUUUUAUUAAAUUGCUAAUUAUCCAUCUCUAGAUCCAUAUCUUUGCUAUAGCACUUUUGCCUUAGAAGUGUAGCUGAUAAUGAAGUCUUUUUAUAGUUGACAACCUUCUUAGAUAUUCUUGGUAUAUUUGUAAUUGAAUGACCUUUGAAUCCAUUAGUAUUAUGCCUUCACAAAGCCUAUAAUUUCUCUUUCAAGUUAGGUAUGUUCCUAUUGCCAAAAGCCUAUUGCUAUAUGAGAAAGAAGGUUGUUAAAUAAAGAGUAUUGUGGGAGUUCAUUAACUUCAUUUGCAUCCUCAAUUUGCUUCUAUUCAAUAAAAGACGUGGUAGAUGGCAGCAAAGAAGAGGAAGAUCAUUAAUUAAGAAGUCUUCAAGUUGCAUUAUGUUAGGUUUAUAAAACAAGCACAUUAUCCAACUUGGUGUAUCAAUAUUAUGGUGGUUCAAAAAAAAAAAAGAAUGGGACAAGCCAUGUUUGUGUGGAUUAUAGAAACUUAAACAAGGCUUGCCCUAGCGAUUGUUUCUCAAUCCCAAGGAUAAAUCAAUCAACAAAUAUUUUCGACAAUUCAAUAGAAAUGUGAUCCGUCAUGGACUUCACAAAGGAAAAGAGAGAAAGAACAUUAGUUAAAAUGACAACUCACCAAUAGACAUUGAUGAGGGAGUAUGAUAAGAAAGUUAAACGGAAGUUUCUAAACAUUAAGGGCUUUGUCUUUGGGAUCAGUCUUUGAGAAUAUUAAGAAUCCUCACAAUAGAAAACAAGGACUAUUUAGGAAUGCACUUAUUGAAUAUGUGAUAAAGUUGAUCAAGCUAUAUAUCGACUGUAAACACUCUUUGACAAGCAAUUGGUGAAACCAUGGAACAUAAUGAACCUUAAGAAUUAUUACUUUUGAUGUUUCUUUUGUUUGAAAGGUUACUAUAUAAACUAUUUUCUUUUACCAAGGUAUAUAUCUACUACAAACACUCUUUGGCAAGUAAUUGGUGAAACCAUGGAACACAAUAAACUUUAAGAAAUAUUACUUUUGAUGUUUCUUUUGUUUGGAAGGUUGCUAUAUAAACUAUUUUCUUUACUAUUCUAAAAGCAUUAUUCAAUUAUGGACAAUUCUUGUUAUACUAAAAGCAAAUUCAUAAGGGUUAAUCUACCAUAGAUUGGAUCAUAAGGAAAUAAAUGCAUAGACUUGGAACAUUGAAAAUUUAAAGAUGCACCUAAAGGAAAAGGGUCAUGAUUUCUAGGUUUAAAAUUCUAGUUGGCUUUAUAGUACUAAAAAGUUGCCAAAUAAAAGUAAAUGUGUCAUGAUGUGGAGAGUAUCUUACUUGCUCUAACUAUAUGAGAAAUUUCACGAACGAUUUAAAGAACACUUUUGCAAAGAAAGUAGAAUGUUAAAAAGUAUAGGAUAUUCCAUAAGCUAUUAGAUUUGUAUGUAUGUGCAUGAUGAGUAACUAAAACAUGAUAGAUAAAAUAAGUGAAACACUUUAAACCUUUCAAAAUGUGUGUAAUAACUAUUAUAUGUUUACUUCCUUAUCUUUUUUAAAACAAGAAACAUUGUAGUAUCUGGAUAGAUUCAAUUAAUCUCCAUGAUUUCUAGUAUCCAUUUUUAGCAUUGCUAUGUGGCUCCUUUGAUAAUACUUUUGUAUUCCCAUUCCCUUUUUCACUUNNNNNNNNNNNNNNNNNNNNNNNNNNNNNNNNNNNNNNNNNNNNNNNNNNNNNNNNNNNNNNNNNNNNNNNNNNNNNNNNNNNNNNNNNNNNNNNNNNNNUAUUCCCAUUCCCUUUUUCACUUUCUCCACCUAAAUUUCCAGUCUUUGAAGAUAGUGAAAUAGCAUAUUUGAUAUGGUAGUUUUCAUGGUCAAUGUUGUAACCUAAGUCUUUAUCAAUGAAGGAAAAUGGAAUCCAAAGAUUGUUUGUGCUAACAAUGGUAGCAUGGAUUUCUUGAUGAAGACGAUAAAGAAAGCAAAUGGAUGUAGUGCAUUAUGAAAGUGGUUUUUCUUCUUUUGUGGUGUCUGUCAGUAUUCUGAGACAUUAAACAUUAAUAGACAUGAUUUGAAGUGUUAUAACAGUUCAAGGGGCUUAUCAGUUUUGAAAUUCAAAAACAUUUAGGUAAUGCUUUUUUACAAGAACUUUGGCAUUUAAUAGUAAUGGCAUUGCCAUUACCAAGUGACAUCAUACCUGGUAGAAGUCUAAAAAAUGUCAAUACUUAUUGAUUCCCUUAUCAUGUCUCAAAAAAUAUGACUUGCUCUUAUGAAAGCAAUGUGGGAGACUGUUAUUCUAUUAACAAUGCCAAAUAUCUAUCAUUAGAAAUGGUUGAAUUUACAGUUUGAUAAAUGUAUAGUGUUAGCAUAAAGCCUUUAAAAGUGAGACAUGAUGUAAUAAAUUUAAACUUGAGUUUCCACUAUUCUAUUCAUUAAUUGCAUUAAAAUUUAUUUGAGUUUUCAAGUUUGCACUACUUAUAUUGUACAUGACAUAGAUGCAUUACGAGUUACAUGUAAAAUGUAAGUCAUAGGUUUCUUGCAAGUUGAUGAGUUGUUCACAAUUGAUUCAUGAACUUAGACAAUCCAUUAAGGUUGUAGUAUACUACCUACUAAUUAGAAGGAUCAUUUAUUUUGUUCAUUAAGAUGAGUUUCCAAUGGUGAGUGCAUUAGUAUGUAUAAAUACACUUUAAACAAAACUUAUAGUGAAUAUUAAGUUGGUGUUGAGGUCUUCAAUAGUUAUAACCUACAAGUGAGACCAUAAGGUAGUCACACAUUCCUUGUGAAUUGAAUCACUAUUGAUUAAAGUAUAUGACAAUGGAUAUUCUCAAGAUAAGUAUUAUAAUAUCUCACGAGUUUGAGAAAAUGUGUCUUUUGGUAAUCCUAAGAACUUGUGAUCAUAAAAUUUGUGAUGUUGUAAUAAUUCCUUUAGUGGAAUUUGACAUAUUUUCUUGGUAAGUUAGAAUAUAUCGGUUGAUCACAUAAUAAGAAGAUCUGAGGCACAAGAAUCAUACAGAUAAUCUUGAGAGGUUGAUAUCAUCUAUCUUGUUAGAUUACAAACAUUCAUUCAUAAGAAGUCUAUAUGCAAUGGAUAGUAAGUCAUAGAAUGGGGGAGUUGAUUAUUUAGUUUAAUCAACAUUUAUCUUGAUGUAAUGACAUGGGAUAUUGGAGUGCAAUUGAUUUUCUUUAGUAGAAUGUUAAGACAACUCUAUAAUUAUAUUUUGAGGGAGCCAAUAUUUUUCUAUUAGCUUAAAUGACCCCCCCCCCCCCCUCCCCCUCAAACUCAUAUUCUUUGUUAUAACAAAGGUUUUGAGGAUUUAUGAAAAAUUAAUCAUUUAUGUGCAUAAGAAUGUCUUAUUAAAAGCAUAAGGUUGGAUGAGAUUUUAUGAUUAAUUAAUUUUGAUUUAUAGAUUGGACUAAUUAAUUAAUUAAAAUAUAUUAAGGUUAAUUAAUUAAUUAAGAUCCAAUGAGAUAGAUUAAGUGACCCAAAUUCAAGUUGGGUCAAAGUUAGUUAAGCUCACUAGAAAGUCUAUAUAAACCUUGAGACUAUGUUUGGUUGGUGGGAUAUAAUAGAAUAGAAUAAGAUAUGUAUAUCCUAAGAUAUCAUAUCCAAUUGAAUAGGAAAUAUAUAUCCUAGGAUAUGAUAUUCUAAAUUAGCAUAUUUGGUAUGUUAUAUUAUGUUUACAUUUAAUUUGUGAAAAAAAUAAAAUGAAAUAUAUAUAUAUAUAUAUAUAUAUAUAUAUAUAUAUUAUUUUUAAUAUUUAAAAUAAAAAUUAUAUCACAUUCCAAUAUUUUUAUUUUUUAUUUUUUAAAUCUCUUAUAUUUAACAAUAUUCAUGAUAAAAAUAUUCAAACUUUAUAAAUAAAUUUUUUUAUAUUAUGUUAUUCAAUAUAUAAAAAUAAUUUAUAUGUUAUAUAUUAAUAUUAGUUUAUAAAUUCUUUUUAUUUUUUCUUUUUGAAACAUAAAUUUAAUUUAUAAUAAAAAAAUUAUUUUGUAAAAUGAGUAUAAAAAAAUUUGAUAAAAAAAAAAAUUAUGAUACAUAAGAUAUGCGUAUUUCAUAUUUUAGCAUGUGAUGAACAUAUCCCAUAUAAAAGGGACAAAAAACAAAAAGUGGAUAAUAUAUCCUACCAUUUAUACUAUCUCAUAUUUGAUUGAGUAUAUGAUAGGAUAAGUGAUGGAAGAACUUAUUAUAUUUCAUCAUCAAUCAAACAUGGGAUAUGAUAUAAUAUCCCUUUCUUAACCUAUUCCAUAUUAUAUCCGGCCAACCAAACACACUCUAAGAGUUUUAGGGUUGGGCUCUAACUUUUCAAACUAUUAGUCUUCCAAAUACCUAGUCUCCUCUUCUGUCUCCUCUCAAGAUGUGUAGCCACUUUAUAUUUAUGCAAAUGGACAAAGAAGGAACUAUCAAAUGGAAGAUCAUCCAAGUUCAAGAUUUUUUCUAAGAAAGAAUUUAGAUUUGAGAACAAUCAAAUCAUAUGUGUGAUUUCUAACAAACCAUAUGGGGCCAAAGUUUUUACUUUCAUCACUUCCAUUAUACUUAGGAUCUUAGAUGCAUGCAUUCUUAAACCCAAGCAGAUAUUAGAUCCCUGAUGACAUAAAGAUGCUAGAUAGAUGAAUGAUGUACAUAGUACUUGGAUAGGUACCCUUCUCUUAGUACUUUGAUAGGCUUAGUUAAUCUAUAGCAAACUAAUACAUGUGUUAGUCUAAGUGAAAGAUGCUUUCAUUGGUCAACCAUCUACAUUUUUGCCUUAAUUAAAAGAAAUGGGAGAAAAUGGUGAAUGUGGACAAGUGAGGUGGUUAAAGUAUGACUAUAAAUAGAAUAAAGAAUGUGAGGAAAAUGACAUUCUGCAUAUCUUUUAUUUGACUAUUUCUUACUUUUGAGUUUUUUAAAACAAUUUUCUCUUUUCUUAAUCCCAAAAGGAUAAAAAUAGAAAAAAUCUUAAAACCCAAAAAUAUAAACUACCAUAAAAAAAAAUACAAGAAAUGUUGUAAAAAUAUAAAAAUUUAUCUUGUAUUCUUAAAAAUUAUUUCCAAAAUUUUAAAAAUUAUUUCCAAAAUUUUAAAAAUUAUUUUAAGUUUACAAGCUAUCUAGUAUUUAUCUGUUUUUUGUGUAAGUAUUUCUAUAUUUUAUAUAAGAUUUUCUAUUUUUAAAAACAAAAAAUAGAAAAUAUAUUCAUGCACUAUUAUUAUUAUUAUUAUUAUUAUUAUUAUUAUUAUUAUUAUUUUGAAAAUUGGAAUAAGGUGUAAUAUGAUGAAAAUAUUUAAAAAUAAAAUAAAAUUAACUUUUUAUUUUUCAAUUUAAAAUUUUUAAAAGGUAUUUUUAUUUUUCUUCAUAAGGAUAUUAAUAUAAUGAAUAAAGUACUCUCAUUUUGAUAUUUUUAUAAAUUUAAAAGAAAUAAUGACAUAAUAUAUAAUAUAUAACCCUUUAAUCUCUAAAACUAUUUAAAAAAAAAUAGUUUACUAUUUAAACUAUUAAAAUAAUAAAAUAUUUUUUUUUUGUUUAAUUGUAAUUAAAAACCAAAAGAAAAUUAUUUUAAAAUUUAUAUUAUUUCAAGCUCUUUAUUUUUUACAUAAAAGAAAAAAAAAGAAGAAAAAACUAAUGACAUUGUGAAAUAUUCAAAAUUUUAUUUUUUUCUUCAAAAUUUUUCUAUUUUCUUUUUGUUAAAGGUCAUUUUAACAUAAUAAUACUUAAAACUAUUUUUUAUUAACUAUGUAUAUCCAUAGUCAUAAGCCAACAUUAUUGUUUGUAACAAGAUUAAAAAUAAAAAUAAAUACUAAGUCAUGUUAGUUUCCAGACCCAUAUAUCUUUGUUUAGUAUUUUUUCCAGUUUUUCUUAAGUAAAUUUUUCUUUCCAAUUUGAACUCAUUAUUAUUUUAAUUUCAUUAUAAAUUUUCAAUUUAUUUUUAGUUGAUCAUAUCUAUUUCUUUUCCUCUCAUUUAAAUCUUAAUUAUCAAAAAUAUUUCAUCAUAGUGGACAACACCACAACUAUUGUAACUUUUGUUGAAAAUAAUUUUUGAUUACGUAAUUUUGCUAAACUAGGUUAUAUAUUUAGUUUUGAUAUUGAAAAGUCGACAAUCAACCUUCCAUGAUAAGUGAGAGAGAUUGAUUAGUUAUUUCAGUAAAAUGGUUACUCUAAUACUAAUGGUUAGAACUAUAAGCUAAUCAAUCAAAGAUAAAUGCUCAAAGGGAGGAUUGAUUGCAUUAAAAUAUUAAAACCUAAAUAUGUGACAACUUUGGUCAAGAAAAAAAACAAAAAAGAGUUAUCAAGACUUUAUAAUAUUUCAAGACUUUAUAACAUUUUAGGUUGUCGUUCUCUAAGAUCAACUUUAAUAUGUUUAAUUAUUCUUAGGUUAGAAGGAUUAAUUAUUUACUAAAAAUGAUAAAACUUAAUUUAAGUAAAUAAUAAUAAAAUAUGUAUAAAAAAUUUUGAGAGAAGGAAAUUUAAAUUGUUAGCAAAUGCAUUUUUCUAAAUUUUUUUUGGGGAAAAUAUUUAAAAUUUUUGAAAUACUUUAUGUUUUUUCUAUCUCAUUUUCUAUCCCCGGAGAAUAAUUUUCCUAAAUAUUUUUUCACUUUUCCUAUCAUUUUUCAAGAACCUAAUAGACUUGAACUAGUUUUUAUUAAAAAAAAAAAACAUAUUAGGAUGAAGCAAAUUCAAUAAUUUAUUAUUUUAUUAUUAUUAUCUACCAUUUAUGAGAUACUUUUUUGGGGUAAAGUUAAUUAUGUUUAAUCAUAUGUUUACAUAAAAUUAAAUUUUAUGAAUUAAGAUGAAAAAUAGUAACAAAAGAGUUGAAUUUAUGAGAAGCAUAUUGAAUCAUUUGAAUUAUUUAAAUAAAGUCCUUAUUAUAUGAAAUAAAAAUAGAAUUAUAAAUAAAAUUUUAUUUAAUUAAUUUUAUUUUUAUAAUUAAUAUUUUGAAUUUUAUGAAUAUAUAUAUAUAUAGUUUUUAACUCAAAUAUUUAAAAUUGUAUAAUUAAAUAAAGAUUUAACCACUUCACUUAAAUAAUACAUUUUUAUUUCUAUGCGACAUUGCAUACAAUGCUUUAUUUUUAAACAAUGCCAUACCGUAAGUUGAAGAUUUUAAAAAUGUCAUGCCAUAGAUAGAAGGUUAAACUCACAAAAAGAAAUUAUUUUCAUACUUCAAUAAGUACGCUAGUUAAAAAUAGGGAUAUCAAGAAAGAGAAAUACAAUAGGGUUCAUUUUAUUUUAUUUUUAAUUUUUAAAUUUUUAAGUAUUUUAGUUUUAAUUAUAUUUUAAAUUUCUUAUUUUGUUGUUGUUUGAUAUUAGUGAGGAUGUUUGUCUUUGAAUGGAAAAUAAAAAAUAAAAAAUAAAAAAAUCCUAAAUAAGUUCUCACGCUUAAAAAAAAUAUAACUAAAAGGGAGACCAAUUCUUUAUAAUUAAAUAUCUACUAUUUACUUGUUAAUUUGUGUUAUUUAUAUAAAAUAAAAGGUUCAUUUCAGAAAAUAAUUAUUCAAUGUAUAUAUUUUAAAAUAUUUUAUUUAUAAAAUUUUAGGUUAUUUUAUAUAUAUAUUUUCAAAUUAGUGAAUUAUAACCUACUUUUCCCUUUUUUUUUAGUCAAGGUAUUAUAUUUAAUCAUUUAAGUAUUAUUUUUAAUAAUAUAAAAAUUAUAUUUGAUUAUCUCAAUGAGUAUUUUUGAGCGACAAUUGUAUGUAAUUGGAAUUAUUUUUAAAAUUUUCUAUUUUAUGUUUUUUUUUCUUUCAAAUGUGUAUGUGGAAGCAAAUUUUUGGGAAUAUUAAAGGAAACAAUAGAAAAUAAAAAUCAAUUUUUAAUUCAUAUUUUUAUUUUUAUUUUUAAAAAUAAAUUCGAAAAAAAAGGUUAAAAAAAAAUCACUCUAUAUAUUCAUUUCUCUUGUAGAUAAAGAAGAUUUAAAAAGAUGAAAACUAGUUUUGUGAAUAUAAAAAAAAAAAAACCAUUUUUUAAUAGCCACCCAUUUUGAAAGAAAAAGUUAGAAAAUUUUCUAAGAAGUUAUUGAUAUUUCUUUAUUACGAUAUUAAGGCGUGUUUGGUACAUGGAAAUAAGGAGUCGGAAUUAGCAACUCAUUCCUUUUCUAUAUAAAUCCAAAUAUUAUAUAGAAAUAUAAUAUAAAUAUAAGAUUUAGAUAUUAAUGAAUGAGACCAAAUAUAAGUCUAAUAUAUUUUCCAACUGCUGUGUGUAGUCUAUGCCAUGCCAUCUUGAACCUAGACCAAACUUACUUUCAGGCCUUGAUAUUGGGCCUGAGUUCACAUCCAAUUAUAGGUUGAAAGGCCAGCUUAGGCCCAGCUUCCCAAGUAUAUGCCUCUCAAAUCAUUUCCUUGGCUAUUUGUGUCAUGGAAACUGAAUGUGUUAGUUUGGUUUCUUCUUUGUUCUGUCAUUUACUCUUAUCUAAAACUUUCAUUGGAACCUUAUAAAAUGUGAAUAUAUAAGAAAAAUAAUGAAAAUAGAGCUAAGAAGAACUACCAUGGUUUGUUGAGGCACGUGAGUGAUCACACAUGUUGUCCUAAAGCUGCUAUGAGCUUCCUACAUGCGGUGUCAACAAACGAUAGGCACUCCAAGAAACAACCCCAAUUGGCUCGCAACAACGUUUUUUUUCUAUGGGUACAUGAUCUAGUCGCCCAAACAAUAUGAAGAUUAAGGAUGAAAAUAAAACUAUAAAUUCUGAAUACCUCGUGAGGUGUGAAAGAAGAGAAUGAUCUUCGUAAUAUUUUUGGAUUAUUUUUCAAAAUAAAGAAAAACCAUUUCAUGGAGCAAGAAGAUGACCAUUGUUGGAGUCUCGUUAUCUCAAAAUGGUCAAUUCUAUAAAAGGCUAUAAAAUCCAACCCAACGUUCGGUUGAGUAAAAGUCAAUAAUUUCAUUUGACUUAUUCGUUGCUAGAAGAUAUAAUAUCAUAAAGCUAACUCUUCCAUUUUCACAAAAGGAAAUUUUGAGGUUUUAUACUUUAUAUUUAUAUAAAAAAUCCUACAAUUCGAACAUCAUCGGUGUUUUCAAAUGAUCAAUUCAAUGAAUAAAUCACCUCAUCAUGCUCAUACCUCUCUCUCAUUUGGAGAUACAAUCUUUGUAAAACUUGAGAAGCCACUUCAAUUUGAGGAUGUAGCACAUCACCAGCUAGAAAUGAAUGCAUGCAUGUUCCUAUCUCAACCCAACUACAUCCUGCAGUCUUCUCAACUCCUCUUGCUUCCAUCACCUCCCUGAUCUCUACUGCUUCACCCCAUUCACCGAUAUCUGUGUAUGAGUUGGCAAGAAGCACGUAGUUUGAAGAGUUGCGCGGUUCAUUGGUAUAAAGAUGUUCUGCAGUACGCCUUGUCAUUUGUACAUCCCCAUGUAAUUUACAAGCUCCUAGCAAGGCACCCCACAUCACAUUGUCUGGUUUAAUGGGCAGUGCUAAAAUAAGUGCCUCAGCCUCCUGCAAUAGCCCGGCUCGUCCCAGCAAAUCCACCAUACAUGUAUAAUGCUCAGCUGUGGGCUUGAUCAGAUGCUUGUCAACCAUUUCCUUGAAGUAACUAUAACCCUCUUUUAACAGGCCAUUGUGGCUGCAUGCACAGAGCACACCAACAAAAGUGACCUCAUUUGGGGCAAUACCGGAUGGCCCCAGCAGCACCAUCUCAUUGUAAAGCUUCAAGGCCUUCAUUCCCGCGCCAUUCUGAGCAUACCCACAUAUAAUUCCAUUCCAUGAAGCGAUAUCUCUUUCUGGCAUCUCCUGGAACGCCCUCAAUGCAUCCCCCAUCUCACCACACUUUGAAUACAUAUCCACAACUGCACUUCCUACAACAACAUCAGCCCCUAGUAGCCCAAACUUCAAAACAAGUCCAUGGAAAUGUCUUCCCUUUUGGAAUGCAUUAGCAUCAGCACAAGCACCAAGCAACCCACCAAAAGUGAAAGAAUUUGGCUCUAUGUCACCUAACUGCAUUUGGUAAAACAACCACAUUGCUUCCUCCAUGUGCCCGCUUUGCAAGAACCCAACAAUAAUUACUGUCCAGGAAACAACAUCUUGGUCAGGUAUCUCCUCAAACAAACGAGAAGCUGAAGCUACAUAACCACAUUUUGAAUAUAAGUUUACCAAGGCAUUGUUAGUAAAUCGAUCAGAGCAAAACCCACGUUCAAUGAUCAAUGAAUGGACUUGCAUUGCUUCAAAAACUUGCCAGCGAGCUGCAAACUCAUUCAAAACAAUAGCAUAAGUAUACUCAUCAGCAGAAAUCCCUUCUCUACUAAGUUGUCUAAAUAGCCCUAUACUCUUGUCACCCCUUCCAUACUUGGAAUAACAAGAGAUCAUGGCAUUCCAUGUAACCAGACCUCUGCUAGGCAUUCCAUCAAACACUUUCCUUGCAUCCCCUAUCUCCCCAACUUCCGCAUACAUCCUAAGAAGAUUGGUGCCUAUAAAAGCAUCCAAAUCUGAACAAACCUUAACAAUAUCUGCAUGCACUUGUUGGCCAAAUCCCAAAUCACAACAUGGAAUAAUAAUAGCAUACGUGAAAUUAUCAGGCCUAACAGAACUGCAACGCAUUUUCAUGAAAUGGGUUAAGCCUUCUCCCAAUUUAUGGUUUUUUACACACCCAGAUAAAACUAUGUUCCAUGAAUGGCAGUCCCUUUUGGAGGUUCCAUCAAAGAGCUUAAUAGCUUCAGAGACUAAACCAAAUUUGAAGUAGCCUGAUAAGAUGGUGUUAUAUGAAACCACACUGGGUUGAGGCAUGAAGUGAAGAAGCUUGUGGGCAUCAGACAAGGCUUGGGAAUUGAUGUAGGCCUGAAGGAGGAUAUUGCAUUGAUAUACAUGGGCAAUGAGCCCAUUUUUGACAAGGGAAGCAUGGAGGACUGGUGCCUUGUACAUGUGACCAUGUGAGUAUAGCUCAAUACUUCGAAUAUAUUUAUGUUGGGGAGUUGAGUGAAGUGGCUUAGCGCAUGUUGGGUAAAACUCCAUCCUUACCGCUUAAUCAUUUAAGUUGAAUUUAAGUUAAAUUAUAUUUUAACUUAUAACUUAUUACUUAAUUUUUAUUUUAAGUAUUAAAACAGUUUGAUAAAAUUAACUUAAAAGUAAUUUUAAAUUAUCAAAUUGAUAUAUUUAUCAUCUUAAAUUUUAGGUAGAGUAAUAAAGAUCGUAGAAUAAUAAAGAAAAUCGUGAAGAUAAUUAAAACAAAUAAAAGUAAAAUAAAUAUGUGAACUUAAAAAAAUUAAUUAUUUUUAACUUUAAGUCGUACCAUUAAAUUAUUUAACCAAACAUACUUAAUUUACUUAAUCACUUAAAUUAAAUUAUUAAAUUACUUUAAGUUAUUAAAUUAGUUUACUACACAGCCUCUUAGUGUAUGUAUAAAUCAAUUUAAAGAAUAUAUUGUAAGUUGCAUUCAAUGAAGUUUUUGUAAGGGAUUCAACAUGAAUAAGCUUAGCAUCAACUUAAAAUUACAAAUCAUGUUAGUUGAAAAAUAUUAUUAAAAUAUAAAAUAAUUAUUAACUAUAAUUUAGAAAUAAAAUCAAAUUAUAAUGAAUUUGAUUGUCAAAAUAAAUCAAAAUUCAUUUUAUUUGAAAUCUAUUUGAUAAUUAAAUUCAUCAUAAUUAUCUUUCAUAUUAAUAUAAAUUAGGUGAAGUAAAUUUAUAAAUGAUGAAAAAAAAUUUCUUUUUUAUUAGUCUAAGAAAAAUAGAAAUCUAAACAUAAUUAUAGUAGAAUAUUAAUCAUAUCGAAGAGAACCCAUCGCUAAAAAAAUUUAAUAAAAUAUCAAAUACAAAAUUACGAUAAAAUCAUCUUAAUUAAAUUAAAUUUUAUAAUACAUAUUAAAUUUAAAUAAGAUUAAUUUUAUAAACAAUAAAAUUAAAGGUAAAAACACAAUCAAAACACUUACAAUGCACAAGAAGAAUACAAGGAUUCCUUUUCUUCUGCUGCCUUCAAACCCAAUUAUGUACUCAUGUACAUUCGCGGGGAUAGCUCAGUUGGGAGAGCGUCAGACUGAAGAUCUGAAGGUCGCGUGUUCGAUCCACGCUCACCGCAUUUUUACGUCUUUUACCGUCAAUAACCAAAUCUCUGCUAGGCAUUCCAUCGAACAUUUUCCUUGCACCCCCAAUUUUCCCAACUUCUGCUUACAUCCUAAUAACAUCGGUGCCUAGAAAAGCAUCCAAAUUUGAACAAACCUUAACAAUAUCUGCAUGCACUGGUUGCCCAAAUCCCAAAUCACAACAAGGAAUAACAAUAGAAUACGUGAAACCAUCAGGCCUAACAGAAGUGCAUGCAAUGCAUUUUCAUGAAUGGGUCAAAGCUUCUCCCAAUUUAUGGCUUUUAACACACCCAGAUAAAACUAUAUUCCAUGAAUGGCAGUCCCUUUGGGAGGUUCCAUCAAAGAGCUUAAUAGCUUCAGAGACUAAACCAAAUUUGAAGUAGCCUGAUAAGAUGGUGUUAUAUGAAACCACACUGGGUUGCGGCAUAAGUGAAGAAGCUUGUGGGCUCCAGACAAGGCUUGGGAUUGAUGCAGGCCUGAAGGAGGAUGUUGCAUUGAUAGACAUGGGCAAUCAGCCCUUCUUUGAGAAGGGAAGCAUGGAGGACUAGUGCCUUGUACACGUGGGUAUAGCUCAAUUUUUGAACCAUAGGGUUUAAACAGUCGAAUUUUGUACAAAAUUGAUGUGUGCGUACUAAACCUUAAGGGUAUAAAUGAAAUUAAUUAUAUUUUAAAAUUUGGAUGUGUCAAAGGAAUUAAAGACUGGAUACGAAAAUAUAUUUAUUUCCCAAUAUUUGGUUAUUUGAUAUAAGGAUUAGAUAAAAGCAAUGAAUAAUUAUAAUUUAUCCAAUUGAAAAAUAUUAAAAAUAUUGACAAAAAAAAAAUUAUCAAAAGAAUUUAAUGAAUUUUUUCAAAAUAAUUUUAAAAAAUAGUGAGAAAUGUCAAUAAAAAUUUUAAUAAUUCUUUUUAAAAUAAAUUCAACAAUUUCACUAAUAAAUUUUUAGAAUUUGUUUUGAAAUAAUUAAAUAUAAAUCACUUGAGACAUAAAUAUUUUAUUGAAAAAGUUAUCUGUCACAGGAUAACAUAAAUUAAUAUAAUACCAUAUUUAAAACUUAGGUAUUCAAUUGUAAAUUAAUAACCGACCAAACUUUAAAAAAUUUAAGGCCAUGUUUGGUUCCCAAAAAAUAUUAAGAAAAGAAAAAAAAAUGAUUUUUUUUCAUGUUUAGUUCUCCUAUAAAAAAUAUGGAAGAAAAUAAAAUAUAAUUAAAACGAGUUAAAAUGAUAUGUAUUUUUAAAUUAUUUAAUUUUUAUAUUGAUGAAUUAAAAUAAAUAAAAUGAAUUUGAAAUAGUAAAUAAAAAUAAUUUAUUAAUUUUUAAUCUAUUUUUUAUUUUCCUUCUACUUUUCCUUUGUAUUUUCUUUCUCUUAUAUUUUUCCUCAAAUUUUGUGAGAACCAAACCAAACAUAGACAUUUAAAAAUUUUCAAAAUCAAACUAGAAAUAACUCAUCCUAAGAACAAAUUUAAUAAAAUAUUAAAUAUUUAAAUGAAAUUAAAAUUUAUCAUUAUAAAAAGAAAAAAUAGAUAAUAGAAUCCAAAAUUGAUAUCAACCACCACCAUUUGGGAUGAUACAUAAAUAUUGAAUAAUUAAAAAAAAAACAAAUUGAUUUAGAAAAUAAUACAAUUUUCUACCAUAUUUAAGUGAAGCUUCCAUAAAUCAAAAGGGAGAAAGAAAGAAAGAAAUCAUAUCAAAUCUACCACUAAACUAAAUCAUAAUUAGUAACAUAUUAGACACCAAAAUUAUAAAAGCCAUGACAAUGAGACUUUAACUCCUCCUAACAGCAAAAACUUUAUUACUGCGAGGGUGAAACUAGGCUCCCUGUAUAGACAUAAACUUGUGUUGUAUCCAUCUGAAGACCGCCGCUGAGAAUCUGUAUGCAUCUUAGACCAUUGAUCUUUGAAUUGUAAGCCACCAACGUCUCAUAGUGUUUCAGCAAUAUUUCACCAUCUUCCAUUAGACCUACCACUUCAAUGUAUUCAUUAAUAGGCACUCCAUGUGGUGGUUUUAUGUCAAUUCUAUACUCUCUCACCCACUCUUUCUUCUCGUAAUCCUUCAACUUCCAUAUCUCAAUGUGUGUACCCAAUGAAAAAUCAACCAUACCCAGAUAGCCUCUCAGGUCGACCAACUCAAACCACUUUGAAACUUUUGAGGAGAAUUCUUGAUGAGGGAUUGACUUAAAUUCCUCUUGUCUGAAGUCAAAAGAAAUCACCAUGCUCUUCAAAUCAUCAGGACUGAAUUCAUGGUUAACCAGCCAGUGCAGCGCACCAUUUGCAUAUACACCCUUUUUAUAAAGAGGAUAACAAGGAACUUGGCUGAUCUCUCUCCAUGAGCUUGUGGUUCCCAUUGUAUAUACCUCAGCACCCAACUGGUACCCUUGGUUGGCCCGAUCAAAAUCCCGAAAAAAUACGCGAACAAUCUUAUACCUUUUAGUUGAAGAAUCAAACCCCAAUCCAUACCUGUCCAAGUGUGGCCAGCGGGACACGAUUAUGGACCGUGGCAGCAUGAGAGGCUCUCCUUUGAGAGGAUUAGAUACAAAGGCUUCCUCCUCUUUGCCACAUUUUACAAAGCAAAGUAAACCGUGGCAGGAAUUCUCCAAGUCAUACCUCCCUCUGUUGGGAAACUCAAGAAUAGCCUUGGGAGACCGGUAAUGUUCUUUCAUCAACUGCAGGCUGCUCUUUCUAUGCUUGGCAUGAAACCAAUGGAUUAAAACCAGAGCUUCUUCACGAGUAGUGGCUUGAGCUAAGUGCAUGUUGGGAAGACAAGGGUCGUCAAUCAAGUUGCACCAUUGUUUACAUACACGGCUUAAUUGGAAAAGCCACCUUAUGGGUAUUCUUGAAAAGAUCUCCAAGAUAAGCUCUCUUGGAAUUUUUUCAUUCAUGAUUCCUGUUUUUCCAUGGCUUAUGAGCUAAGCCUUUACAUAUAUAUAAAGAGGGAGAGAGGGAGAGAGGGAGAGAUGUUACUAGUUGUAGUUGCCUUUCUUUGAAGUCUAUUAGGAUUAGGAAACACAGGAUCGGGGUAGUUGCCUUAUUUGUGAAGGAGUUCUAUUUGCAAAGACGUUGUAGGGACUUCUAUGAAUUCCGAUUGGACCUAAUCUGCAUCAAGUAUAUUUGUGUAUAUAUAUAUAUAUAUAUAUAUUAAUAAAAAAUGAUCAUAGUAUAAAAAUAUAUCAUGUUAUUUUAUUUUCAUGUUUCAUAUUUCAUAUUUUAAAUAAUGGGCUUUGAGCAAAAACCAAUAUUUUUACCAUUUUAUUUUUAUUCUUCUUAUUUUUAUAUAUAUUUUUUCUUGUUAUUAAAUUUGAUAAAAAAAUUCAUAAUCAAAUUGAAGAGAACUCAUCACUAAAAAAAAUCUAAUAAAGUAUCAAAUAAAGAAUUACAAUAAAUUCAUUUUAUUAAAAUUUAUUAUAUAAUAUAUAUUAGGAUUUAAAUAAAUUUAAUAAAAUUUAAAAUAAAAACAAUAUAUAUCAAAAACUUAUAUUUUAUUUACCAAAAUCUAAUUUAAGAUUUUAUUAAUAGGGAUAAUAGCAUUGAUUUUAUUUCAUAUUAAAGGAAUUUGAUAAAUAAUUAAUUAAAACCGAAAGAAUUAAUAACAAUAUUGGUCAUUUUCUUUUUAGGGAUUUAUUUUAAUAUGGGAAAAAAAUUUGAGGGCCUAACCUAAAUUCAUUGAAUUCCCAUAUAUUAUUAUUAUUAUUUGAGAACAAAGUCUACUAAAUUUUGUUAGUGACUAAGUGGUGACAAAGUAUAUAAAUUGUGAAUUAUAAUAUACAUAAAUAGAUCUUCAUAUUUCAAAGUGUUCGGUGCUUUCAAUGUAUCGAAUUAACAAAAAUAUUGAAAACAAUGACAAUAAUAAUUAUUUGAUUUAUGAAAAAAAAAUAUAUAUUUUAAAAUAUUUUUAAAUAGACAAAAAUAAUACCAAUUUAUAAAAUUUGAGAUAAUUUUUUUAAUAUAUUUUUAAAUUAAUGAGUCAAAACUCACUUUUCCCUAUAUUUUAAUUUAAAAUUUUAGUUUAUUUUCAAGAAUAUAAAUAUUCUUUGGUCAUCCUGAGAUGAUGCCACUCCCACAAAAUUUAUAAAUUUAAAAAUUAUUAAUAAAAUAAAAGAAUGAGUAUAUAGUUUUACCCAUAUCAAACCCUAUUAGUAUCAAAGUAUUGGAAAUGUUGAUAAGAUUAUGACCAUCAAUCACAUUAUCAUCAUCCUCGUAAGGUAUAUUUAUACUCUAAAACCCUUAUAAUGACCAAUAUCAUAAAAAAUAAAAAAUAAAAAAUGAAAAAUUUGACGCAUGUUGAAUGCUUGAGAGGCCUUGAUCACCAAAAGCCCACUCCUUUUCAAACUUUGUUUUUCUUGCCCCUUCAAGUUUAUAUUUUUCAUUAAAACCAAACUUCACCUUAAAAUGUCAUUAUUCACUAAAUAAACUCAAUUAUAAUUACCUAUGAAAUAAAAAUAUUAAAAUAUAAUUAAAAAUAAAUAAAGCAUUAAUUCCCAUCAUUUGUUUUUUUUUUUAUCUUUUAUAUAUUUUUUUCAAUAUCUAACUCUCUUGUUAAUUAAAUAAUAAUAUUUAUAGGAAUAAAAAAAAAUUAACUAUGAUGUUUUCAUUCCCUAUAAAUAGAGUAGAUUGUAUAGUUUUUUAGAUACCAACUUCCAAAGACAAUUCAAAAGACAAGAGUGGGAGGGAGGUUUGAAAAAUUAUUUCAAUGGAUAAUACUUAGAGAAAGGAGUUCAAAACCUUUUCAAAUCUUCAAAAUGGACUUCAAGGAAAUUUUAAUUUUUUCAAAGCCCCAAGCUUCAAGUUUUGAUAUUGAAAUUUGAAAGACCUUUUCCAUUUGGGAUCAAGUUUGCUCAAACCUUAGUCGGUGUUGUUCAAGUCACAUCAAAAUUGAAAUAAAUCCAAAGUUGAGUCACACCAAAAGCCCAAGUCAUACUAAAGUGCAAGUCAAGGCUAACUCAAGGUAAGACUCCAAUCAAAUUAAAACUUAAAACUAAAUCAAGUGAAACCUCAAAUUAAGCUCAAACCAUUUAACGUAGACUUGAAGCUCUUGUUUUUAACAACUUAGAAAAAUAAAGAAUCUAGACAACAAGAUAAAGACCAUCAUCCUUUAAGGCUAUAUUUGGUUGCCUUUAUAUAUAUAUAUGGGUUACAAUUCGUGUUGGUGGGUUGUGUUCGUAUUAUGUCAAAGUCGAGGUAUUCUAUCAUAUAGCUCAACUCAAACAUGAUACAAAUGAUAAUUGUGUUAAAAACAUAAAUCGAAUGCUAUCAAUUUGUGUCGGGUUGUGUUCAUAUUAUAUUAAACCCUAGGUAUUCUACUAUAUAACUCAACCCAAACUUGACACAAGUAAUAAUCAUGUCAAAAACAUAAACCUAAGUACUACCUAAUUAUUAAACAGGUAACACAUUAUCUUGUAACAUAUUUAACCUAUUUAAUAAUUAGGUCUUUCUAUUUAAUAAUUAUGUUGAAUUAGUUCUAUAUAUGUUUAUAUGAUUCACAUCAUAAUAUCGGGAUAUUGCGACGAUAUAUCGUCGAAAUAUCUGUGUCGAUGCAUGUGGAAAUGAAAUUUUCCACAAAAAUAUCGAUGGUCAACGCAGGAGCAUCCACACUACCAUUGGGGCAAAUUUGUCCCUUGUUAAUAAUCUUGCACCAUAUAUACAUAUAUUAAAAGUUUUCAUUUACACAAAAUAUUAAAACAAUACUUUAAACAACAAAUUAAUUAUAAUUAAAUAAAAAAAUUUCAUUUAAUUAAGUAACAAAAAGUUUUUAAUGUCAUUAAUAUAUUAAUUAAAUAUUAAAAAAUUAUACAUUUAUCAUCAUUUGUUUGAUAUCAUUUAAUACAAUUAAAUUAAAUAUAUCAUAAUUUUAAUAUUAAAUAUAUUUUAAAAUUAAACAUAUUAUAAUCAAAUAUCACAAUAUUAUUAUCGAAUAAUAUUUGAUAUAAUUUAAUAAUCAAUAUAUAUAUAUAUUAAUUUCUUCAACAAAAUAACUUUAAAAUGUUUAUUUUACUUCUAAUUUCAUUUCUAAAAACUUUAUUUUACAUUUUCAAAAGUUUUGAUCAAUUUUAAAUCAAUCCAUAUUUUAUAUCAAAAUAUCCGUCGAUAUAUCCGUAAAAUCGAACUACCGAUAUAUUAGUGAUUACCAAUAUUUUUAUCUUUGUUUAUGACUCAAUUGACCUAUUUAUUUAAAAAUAAAUUAAAAAUGAGACAAAUAUGAAUUAAAUAGUUUAAUAACGAGAUUAUUAAAUGAGUCAAUUCAGAUUAAAUUUAUAUUAUACAAGUUGAUAAAAAAAUUAUAUAUUUAUUAAACGAUAGAUUGACAUGAAUUUUAUCCAAACUCAUUUAUAUUUAACUCAAACCCACGAAUAUCAUAUUGGAUUCAUGUGAUAUUAGUGAAUUGUAUUAAACUUUGCAACCAAUAUACAUUUAAAAUAUUUGAAUCAUAUAUAUUAUUUAUAAAUAAAUAAUUAAUUAUUUACUAAUUUUUUAAAUUAUUAAAUGAUUUCUAAAUAAUAUUAAACAUAUUUUUAAUUGGAAUGCAAUACAAAUUUUAUUUUAAAUAAAUAUAGAAUAUUAAAAAAUAAUAUAUAUUUUCAUUUUAUUUUUUAUUUAUUUUAUAAAUUAAAUAUAAUAUAUUAUUAGAUAUAGAUCUUUUGGAUAUCAUCUCCAUUGAAUAUGAUAACCGUCGGAUAUAUUCAUGAGAUACCAAUUGAUUUUUUCGUACAAUUGAAGGUAAGAAACAAUGUCGGUUUAUGAAAACCUCAAAUUUUACAAAAACAGUAAACUCAUGAAAAAACCCAUCAGUUUAAACUUCAAAGUUCGAAGUUACAAUUUACAACUAAGCCAUUUUCGGUUAUUCACAGGGAAAUCCCUGGGAAGAACACUGAGUAGAGGUACCCUUUGCUUCUCUUCAAUGGAGUCUUCUUCUUUGAGCUUUUUCUCCACACUGAAGCGUCCGUUAAGCACAGGUAGUAACAUUAAUAACUUCAAACCCAAAGGGGCUCUUGUGGAAGUCUCCGCCUGCUCUUACCAGAAGUUCCUUCACUUUGCUUUGGAUGAAACCAAACGCCGCACCCAUUUACUUCCUUCCCCUUUGCAGGUACUGUUUGGUUGCCUAGAGAAUAUUGGAAUAUGGGUUUGUUCUAGUUUUGAACUGCUUCAAGAAAUGUGCCUUCACUUCUCUAGAAGGAUGCUGAAAUUUGAACUUAGUGUCUUCUUUGUAUUGUCUUGUCAUUAGCUUAUUUGUCUUGAUUUCAGAUUUUGGUUCCAUGUGUAUUCAAAUUCUUGGCUGAAUGAGGGUUUGUUUACCCUCUCCACUUUUAAGCGUUUUUGCAAGUGGGUAUUGAAAUUAGAACUAGCUUGUGAUCCUGUAAGCCCUAAUGGAUUUUUUUUAUGAUUAGUGUGAUUCUGAGUGUGAAUGGGUUCCAUGUUCUAUAAUUAAAAGCAAAUGCUUUUGAUGUUGACCAUUUGCUCUAAAAAUCAAUGCUAAGUGAUGUGGCUAAAAAAAAAUGUUUGGAAUCAGAAUAGUGGUGGUCAUCUUUUACUUUGAAAUGAGAACCAGAGAUCACUGCAUCUAUUUUAGUACACAUUUUGAUAUAAAUUGUUAGAUUAUAUAAUACUCAGUCAUAGAUAAUUAUCAAACCGGGUUUAGGGUGCCAGAGUGUUUGUUUUGCCUUUUUUUUUUCAUUUUAAUUUCUGGAAGUUUUGGAGUAAUUAGCUUUACGUUACUGCAACUGAGUUGGGUUGUUCUUUCUCUUGGAUUCCUUCUUGAGCAAACCAAGUCACGGAUCAGUUAGCCAAACAAGGAGCAAAGUAUAUGGCCUCCUUUGUUGGAGAUUUACUUUCCCCUUUCGGGUCCAAUUUUUUUGCUCCUAGUUAUGUGAGGGGUUUUUUAUGGGGAGGGUCUAGUUUUUGUGGUUCUAUUUCUUGGUCACUUUCUACCAUUUUUUGUACAUUUUUGAAGGAUUGUUUAUCCUUCUUGUAUUUAUCAACUGUUUGAUGAAUGAAAAUGUUUGUUUCUGAUAAAAAAAUUACCUUUACAUUAGCAAUAUAGGGACUUGUUAGUUAAAGGAAUGUAUAUGAUUGCAUAAUUACAUUAUUGCUUGCAAGAAAUGUUAAGAUGCAAGAUAUAUGCUUGACGUAUGUGUAUGUCUGAAAUCAUUGUAAUGAUUAGUUUAUUCAUUUUUUUUCUGUUUUAACCGUAAAUGUGGAUACUUAAUGGCUUGAACACUUGGUCUUUUUACACUGAGGUCAGUUCAUAAACCCUCCUUGGAACCCGUAGUCAACAGGUCAUUGGCCAUCAUAUAUUGCAUUAUGUGUUCUUACUAUGGUCUUAAUUGUCUGUCAAUAUGUCAAGAUCUCUGUCCUACCUCAAAUAUCUACAAGUGUGCAUAGAGUUUAUAUCAGUUAGUUUUUUUCUUUUUUCAUGGAGUCCUUCUCAUCUGCUAUUCUUCUCAACAUUAUGCUUUUAUGACAUAAGGAGAAUUUCAAUUCCAUGAUGGCCAUGGAUGGAAAAGCAAAGCUUCAAAUGGUAUCAUUCCAAGCUCCCAAGAUUAGACUCCUCCGUAAUUUGAGCAUUGAAGCUAGUGAAGGAAUGCAGGUAUUGUUCUUCAAUAUUUCUGUUGCUCAUGUAUUGUGACAUUGUCUUUUAUGGAGCGUGAUUCCAUUAUAUUAUUUCAUUUAAUUUUUUUCCUUGUAUAACUAUUUGAUGCAACUGUGGGAACUUGCAAUUGCAUGGACUUCCUAUGAUUUGGUGUAAGAAUAUUUCUUUAAUGUGACGUCAAUAAUUUAGUCUGCUCUAAGACUUCAGAAUUAUCAGAACAAUUUUCACCAACUUUGAUGGAUGACAUCAUCCACACAGAAUUUUAUUUUAUAAUUAUCUGGGUACAUUCAUCAUCUACUCAUGAUGUAUGCAUGUAUCUUGGAUUUCAAGAACCUUCAUUGCGCUUUAGUCCCACACAUGUUAGUCUCUUCACUAAGAGGUCGAUUGGUUCCUGAUCUACUAUACUAUCUUCUGUAUUAGCAUCCUCAUUAGCUUGAGUUGGUUAUAUUGCAGCUUAUUAGUUUCUUGAUGCAUGAGUUCUACUAAUAUCAGAAUUCAGUAUGCUAUUCUUCUCUAUGAUUCUUUGUUAGAAAUGAUUUUAUAUGAAGGUCUAUCCUAACUAUCAAGCUAAUCCAAUAUUGAACAUGAUGCCUGGAUGGUUUGGGAACUCAGAUGUGAUCUUGAUGAAUGUGCUCAUAGUCGAGAAAGGUAAGUUCAUAAAAUGACCAAGAUAUUAUUAUCAUAUAGAUUUUCUCUGAUGCAUACAAGCAGAGAUUUUCAGAUUGGAAACCUUGAAUUGCAAUUCAUUUGCUCAGACCUUGUGCUAUAAUAGUGUGUAGAUUCUUUGUAAUAAAUAUGUAUGGUGUUCUUUGUCGUAAUUCUGUCUUCAAAAUAUGUAUGCAGAUUUUGGAUUUUGCUGUGUUCCCAGAACAAGAGUUUGAUCUACCUAUAUUUUGCGCCAAUUUUUUCACCACUCCUACCACGAACAUUAUUGUGUUGUAAGCUAUCUUCUUUCUUUUUCUGCUAAGGAACAUGAUUAAGCUGGCUGCCACUGUCUUCUAGAAGUAAAUACAUUCUGUUACAUAGUCAGAAAAAAAACUGUUUUCAUAAAUUAUGAUGGAGCCUCUCCAAAAAUUUUAUGGAAACGCAUUUCUGAUAAGAAACACUUGUGCAAGGCAAUGUCAUGCUUCCUGCUGAAAACCUGAAUUUCUAGAAAGUUGUUAUAACUUCGGUAAAUUUAUUUUAAGUUUAUGUUUGCCUUAAAUUUUUAUUUAGCCCAAUUUCAUGUGUACUUAUAUGCAUAUGCAUGCAUGCAUACAUGUCUUUUUGAAUGACAAGGUGGAGAUAACUGAUUGGUAUAGGAAAAGCUUGAUUUAUCUUGCCUGAUUUCUGUAAAUUGCACAAUUUAUCAACCUUAAAACAUCCUAGUUGGCUAAUGUUAUUGCUUGAUGAUCCAUUGGCAUGUGUGUACAAGUUUUGCAAGAAAAACAAGACGGAAAACAAGUUAAAUGAAGGAAAAAAAUCUAAAGGAAGGACUCUUCACUACCCCACUGGUCUCAUUAAUUUCACUAGGCCCCCCUGGUGAGAUUAACAGGCCCCCCAGUGAAAUGACCUGGGAGGUUCACUACCCAGGAGCCACUGCUGUCUGCUACCCCCCUUACCUAACUAGUCAGCAGCCCCCUAGCGAAGCCUCCACAACCCUGAUGUCCACUACCUCUGCUCCCUUAGCAAAUCGGCCUGCAGACACCCCUAGAAAAGUUAAACCAGAAUUUUCUGGUCCUCUUUUCCAAUAAGCUCACAAGUCACCCCUCGCAAAGAUACUGUUCCUUUUUAAAUCAUCCUAGCUUCAAUCCUUCGAAAUGAACACAUUCCCCCUGACACCUAUGACAACUGUACAAGCCCAUGCAUGACACCUCUGCUACUCUGCAAAUUAUGAAGCAAUGCGGCAACCAAAAAUCUCAGGAAAUCCACCUCACCCCAUUGUAGACUUGAGCUGCAAAAAUCCUACAAACAGCUAAUUUGGGGGCAAGUGGACAAAAAGCAAAAAUAGAGUUAAAUAGUUGAUAGAGUAGUUAGGUUAACUUAUGCUUUGUACAUAUGUGAAUUCUAGAAAGACAAUUCAAGAAUUUGAAGUCCAUCAUGUUGUCCUCUCUAUAAAAUUCCUUCUGUUCUUUUCAUUUUCACCAUGAGUAGCUAAACCAAAAGUCAAGGUGUAGGGAGGUGAAGACAUCUCAAUCUUGCUGCUCUCAGCAUCUAAGGGAGUCUCAUAGCCUCAUGUUCCUGAAUUUUCUCAGCUAUUAGAGUGCUGAGUUUGAGCUUGUUGAGACAAUGAACUAGCACCAACCUCUUGCUGUUAUCACUACUCCCUAGUUGCUUGGAAAGCCUUGGACGGGAAGUUGAUGAUAGAGUAGCAGCUGUGUGUGGAGCCUCCUUUGUAAUUUGACUCAAAUUGGCCAAUAGUUAUUGGAUAUAGUAGAAGAAAGUGAGGACUGGAAAAAUGUUCAGUGGUGAUGCCUAUCCAAGGUAUGGGCCACACACACUCACAGUGCUCAAAUUAGGUAGGAUAAUUUCUCAACCUCCUGAACCUUGAGAUUCUCUAGUUCUCUUGCACAUUUUCUUAACAAAAUACCAUUGGUUAAUCAUCUUCUUACAUCCCUUCCCUAACACACUACCAUUUGCACCAAGUAUCCAUGACUGUCAAUGCCCGAGGAAAAAUGACACCUGACUCUUGUCAAGUACUAAAAUUGUGAUCCUUUGGCUUGAGGACUCAACAUUUCAUCAUUCAGCCACUGAGCACACUCUUGAUAAGAACCACCAAGCAAUAACCAUAUGUUGGAUGUGGAUAAUUAAUGUAAUAAUUCAUCCCUCCAUUAGUGUGAUCAACUUUAUUGAUAAGCAAUUCAAAGAAUCGAUCAGAAAUAAAAUUCUACUCCUAAAGGAAAUAAAAUACUAAAUGCAGUUUGAAGUACUAAACUAAAGUGAUAAGAAUUAGAACUAAACAGAAAGCUAAUUUAAUAAGAAUAGAAAUCCUAAUUUUAAUUUGAAUGAAAAUACGAAUUGUUCUUAUCCUCUAUGCCUAAAAUAAACUUGAAAUGAAUGGUCUAUAUGAUAGCAUUCGCCAUGGAUUAAAUCUUGUAAUUGCUUUCCCUAACCUCUUCUUCAAACCCUUAAUCAUAGAAGGCUAUGUAUUUUAUUGUUCUGCACUCCUCCAUGAAGGCCAACAUUCACUGCAGCCAACCUAGUUUCUCUAGAGUUUAGACCAAUCCAUUAGCCGCUAGCCACCACCACCUUCAUGUAUGUGUUGGCAUCUUAGAUCUAAGCAACAAAAACAAUACUGUGAAGAGAAAGAAAAGGGAGAAUCCCUAAUUAUUGUUAUUGAAAAACUGUAAAGAAUACACAUUGGACUUGGGUAUAUAUAUACAUGUUAGUGGGACCCACAAUACAAUAAGGAAAGAAAAGGAAAAGGAAAAGUAAAUAACCUAAAUAACUAUACACUAUCUAACACUCCCCCUCAAGCUGGAGCGUAUAUGUUAUAUGCACCAAGCUUGUUACAAAUGUAUUUAAUUCUAGGACCUCUGAGAGAUUUAGUAAAAAUAUCUGCUAGUUGAUCAUUUGAAUUGACAAAACUAGUCGCCACACAUCCUAAUGCGAUCUUCUCUCUAAUGAAGUGACAAUCAACUUCAAUGUGUUUGGUCCUUUCAUGGAAGACUAGAUUGGAUGCAAUAUGCAAAGCGGCUUGGUUGUCACAGAUGAGCUUCAUCUGUUCAUCAUUUCCAAAUCUCAACUCCAGAAGAAGAUGUUUCAGCCAUAUGAGUUCACAUGUUGCCAGAGCCAUAACUCGAUACUCGGCUUCAGCACUAGAUCUGGCCAUGACAUCUUGUUUCUUACUCUUCCAAGAUAUUAGGUUACCUCCAAUAAAAACACAAUACUCAGAAGUGGAACGUCUAUCUAUGGGUGAGCCAGCCCAAUCUGCAUCUGUGUAACCAACAACUUGGGUAUGACCUCUGUUCUCGUACAACACACCAUGGCCUGGUGUGCUUUUGAUAUAUCGAAGAAUGCAGAUUACAACAUCCCAAUGGCUAUCACAUGGUGACUGUAGGAAUUGACUAACAACACUUACAGGAAAAGAAAUGUUUGGACGAGUAAUGGUGAGGUAGUUCAGUUUACCUACAAGUCGCCGAUAUCUCCCAGGAUCUCCUAAAGGCUCCCCCUGGCCUGGUAUAAGUUUGACAUUUGGAUCCAUAGGAGUGUCUACCGGUUUACAGUCUAACAUACCGGUUUCUUCCAAGAUGUCUAAAACAUACUUCCUUUGGGAAAGAACCACAUUGGAACUGGAUUGAGCUAUUUCAAUCCCUAAGAAAUACUUGAGUUUCCCCAAGUCUUUAGUCUGAAAGUGGGUGAAAAGGUGUUGCUUUAGUUUCUGAAUACCAUUCUGAUCACUGCCUGUAAUGACGAUGUCGUCCACAUAAACUACCAGAUAAAUACACUGCCCCGAAGAGUUAUGAUGAUAGAAAACGAAAUGGUCUACUGUACUACGGAACAUGUCAAACUCCUGAACAACAGAACUAAAACGGCUAAACCAUGCUCGAGGAGAUUGUUUCAAGCCAUAUAGAGAACGGCAUAACCUGCACACUAAACCAGACCCCCCCUGAGCAACAAAACCAGGUGGUUGCUCCAUAUAAACUUCCUCAGCAAGAUCCCUAUGAAGGAGAACAUUUUUAAUAUCUAACUGAUAAAAAGGCUAAGAACGCAUAGCAGCCAUGGAGAGCAAUAGACGAACAGAAGCUAUCUUGGCAAUAGGAGAGAAAGUGUCACCAUAAUCAAAACCAUAAACCUGAGUAUAGCCUUUAGCAACUAAGUGGGCCUUAAGGUGAUCAACCUGACCAUCAGGGCUAACCUUAACUGUGUAGACCCAACGACAACCAACUGUAAAUUUACCAGAGGGUAAAACAACAAGAUCCCAAGUGCUAUUGGAGUGUAAAACAACCAUUUCAUCUACCAUUGCCUGUCGCCAGCCUGGAUGGGAAAGAGCCUCAGGGGUGCUAUUGGGAAGAGAAACAGAAGAUAUAGCAGAAACAAAUGCAGAAUAGAGUGAAGAUAAUCGAUGGUAACUCAAAAAAUUGUAAAUGGGAUGAGGAUUACGAGUAGAUCGAUUACCUUUCCGAAGAGCAAUGGGUAAGUUAGCAGAAGGAGGCAGAGCCGGGGCAGGAGAAGCCGAAGGGAUAGGAAGAGACUCAGAGGUGGAGAAGAACGGUGAGUCCUCAAAGAAAGUGACAUCAGAGGAGAGAAAGUAGCGAUGAGUCUCAGAGGAAUAACAACGAUAACCCUUUUAAAGUCUGGAAUAUACCAAGAAGAUGCAUUUUGUGGCUCUGACAGAAAGUUUGUCCUGUCCAGGAGUGAGAAUAUGAAUAAAGCAAGUACAACCAAAAACACAAGGAGGAAGGAAAUAAAGUGGUUGGUCAGGGAAAAGAAGGGAAUGAGGAAUCUGAUCGUGUAAUACAGAUGAGGGCAUACGAUUAAUCAAAUAACAUGCUGUAAGAACAGCGUCCCCCCAAAAACGAAAAGGAACAUGACUAUGGAGAAGGAGAGUACGAGUUGUCUCAACAAGAUGUCGAUUCUUACGUUCAGCUACCCCAUUUUGUUGAGGAGUAUGAGCACAAGAAGACUGAUGAAUGAUCCCAUGUUGGGACAUAAAUGAAGUAAAUGGUGUAGAAAAAUAUUCCCUGGCAUUGUCACUGCGCAAAACACGAAUAGAAAUAUUGAACUGGGUUUGGAUUUCAGCAUAAAAUUUUUGAAAAAUAGAAAAUAACUCUGCUCGAUUUUUCAUUAAAAAUAACCAAAUACAUCGAGAAUAGUCAUCAAUGAAAGUGACAAAAUACUGAAAUCCUAAAGUAGACGCGGUCCGACAAGGACCCCGAACAUUAGUGUGGACAAGUUCAAAAGAAGACUUUGCCCGAUUAUUCAAACACUUUGGGAACGAGACACGAAUAUGUUUCCCAAGCUGACAGGACUCACACGCAAGCGACGACAAAGAUGAAAAACUAGGGACCAUUUUCUGGAACUUGGAUAGACUAGGGUGGCCCAGGCGACUGUGGAUGAGGAGGGGAGUAUCAGUGGAAAUGCAAACUGCAGGAGUUGAAGGUGCGGUGAGGUGAUAGAGGCCUUGAGACUCACGUCCUAUGCUAAUCGUCUUCCCCGUACUCCGGUCCUGCAAGGUCACAAAUUUAUCAGAGAAAGUGAUAGAACAGUUAAGAGUGCGAGUUAUUUUGCUGAUGGAAAUAAGAUUAAAAGGACACUCAGGGGCAUAAAGGACAGAAUAGAAGGUAAGGAAGGGAGAGGAUGAGCGAAACCAAAACCUUUAGCCAUAGUUUGGGAACCAUUAGCUAAAGUAACAGUAGGUAAGGCAGAGGUAGUAGUAAUAGAAGAGAAAAGAUUCUUAUUACCAGAUAUGUGAUCAGAAGCACCAGAAUCUAGAAUCCAAGGUCCAAGAGAAGAUGUGUGGGUAAGACAAGCAGAAGCAUUACCAGUCUGGGCAACAGAAGCAACAAAAGCUGACUUGGUGGCUUGAUAGCGGAGAUAGUCAUCAUACUCACUGUCAGUGAGGGAAAUACCCUGAGAUGUGGAGGAACUGGGAGGCUGAGGCGACUGAGGAUCAGAUGAUUGGGCCACGUGGGCAGUGUGGGGAGGCCGCCCAUGUAACUGAUAACACCGAUCACGAGUGUGGCCAAGCUUAUUGCAAUAGGUGCAAUGAGGACGUUGGCCUCUACCUCGGUUACCACUGCGUCCUCCUCGAGAGCUAGUUUGAGAAACUAACACAGAAGAAUUUGAAGUGUUAUCAGAUGGCAAAGUCUGAGUACGGAGGAGGCGAGCAAACACAUCAUCCAAGGAUGGAACGGAGGAAGUGCCAAGAAUCUGAUCGCAGACGGUCUCGAGAUCUGGACGGAGGCCAAUAAGUGUAAGAACCAUGAAGAACUUGUCAAUCUGUGUUCGUUGAUCCCCAACAUCAGUAGUAAGAGGCAUCACGGUCAAGAAUUCCUCCUUAAGAGAGGCAAUCUACCAAUAUAAGUAGAUAAAUCCAUGUCUUGUUGUCUGACAUUGACAAUAGAAGAAGCCACCUUAUAAAGACGUUGGAUAUCAUUCGUGUAUGGCCCUUUCGCCUGAUUCCAAAAUUUAAAGCAUGUUUUGUAGACCCGAAGAUGAAGCAGAAUCUUAGGAUCAACUGAUUGCCAUAACACAUUACAUAACUGUGCAUCUAUCUUCCUUCAUUGUACUCUGUCAACCUCAGGGAUAUCCGCCUCCUGCGUAACAAGGUGAUCCUCUUAACCUUGACCCAUAAACCAAAGCUCCACAGAGGCAGACCAGGACAAAUAAUUUUCACUUCCAACCAAUUUCUCCUAAGUAAUCAUAGGAGAUCCAGAUAUGACAGAGGAAAAAGUGGAACUUUUAGUAGCCAUAUCUACUUAUCUGGUGAAUGAAAUACGUUUGGAUCAAAGAGAGCCCUAAUACGGCUUAUCGCGGACUUCCUAAGACACGUGUAGGGCUCGGGGUGGAGAGGAAGUCACCAGAGGUCGCCGGAAAGGCUGUUUAGAGGGUCUGCGGAGACAAAAAACCCCAAAAAAUGCACUUUCAGGGCUCGGAUGACACAAGCACAGAUGGAGGGUGGCUAGAUGGCGUCAGGCGAGGCUGGAGGUGGAAGCGCGUGGCCGGAAAGUGCUUCACGCGCCCUCAUCCGCCGGUGUGUGAGAUGUAGGCCACCGGAGAAGGAAUGCGCGUGGCUGAGAUUCUCCCUCCGGUGCUUUGAGAAAACUUGAAGAUUUCCUCCUUGCACACCUGAUGGUAUGGUCGGUGUCGGAAAAGGACGUUGCCGGAAAAGUCGCCGGCGGUGAGGGUUUUCUGACGGUGAUACGAUUGAUCGGAAAGCUUUAGGAGAUGGGAAGGGUGACCGGAAUGAAACACGGUCACUGAAAGAUUUCCCAGAAUGGAUUCACGGAUAAACCGGAAAUAAUUAGGGUUUUUUUUUCUCCCUUGGCUCUGAUACCAUGUGAAGAGAGAAAAAAGGGAGAAUCCCUAAUUAUUGUUAUUGAAAAACUGUAAAGAAUACACAUUGGACUUGGGUAUAUAUAUACAUGUUAGUGGGACCCACAAUACAAUAAGGAAAGAAAAGGAAAAGGAAAAGGAAAAGUAAAUAACCUAAAUAACUAUACACUUAUCUAACAAAUACUAAUUUUUCAAAAUUGAUCUUUAGGGUUAAAGUACUAACCUUAGGUCUAGAUGUUCCCAAACCUUAAAUUCUAAGUGUUGAAGACGACCUUGAAGUUGUUAGGAGUUUCGUAACCCACGAUCUUCGGCCCCAUGACUCAACUUUGUUCUUGGCACACUUCUGAUGGAGCGGAAAGAAGGGUGGAGGCUAUGACUCUUUUUCUCUCUAGAUGGUGGAAGACCAUAAGUGAUGGAAACCCUAACCCCUAAGGGGUAUUUAUAGGGUUCUUAACUGGGCUUAAGUGAUUUGAGCCUACAUGAGCUUGGGUCACUUAAUCUAGUCCAAAUUGGGUCAUAAUAGAUAUCAAUUAGCCAAAUCCAGAGACUUGUUCACUUACCCUUGUACAACCUUGCGUAAUUACCAAAAUGUCUUUAUGCACAAAAGUGAACUUAGAGUUAAUCCAACCCUUAUAACUCAUGCCAACAAGGCAUAUGAGUUCAAAGCAGGGACCAUUAGGAUCCAUAUGAGUAUUGGUUCCCUCAAAAUUCAAUUCCGAAGUUGAUUCAACAUCCUACUACAAAGAAUUAACCGAAUUCCAGUUUUCUAUGUAAAUAACAACAAAACACUAUGUGUUUGGAUCUGUGAUUUGUUAUCCAUUGCAUUCAGUCUCCCCAUAAACUGGUGUCCGUGGUCUAAUAAGAUGAAAGCUAUCAGUUUUUUGAGACUUCCUCUAUUAUCAUUGAGUUACAAAUCCUCUUAUUAUAUGUUUAAUUGACAUGUCUUAGUUCUCAAAGAGCCUAUGUCAAGUUCCACUUAAGGAACUACUAUGGUCAUAAUUUCCAUGAACACACCUCCUUAGAAUCACCCAAGAGGACAUUUUGUCUUAAUUCUAUGAGAUAUCAUAGUGCCUCUAUUGAGAAUACCUAUUGUUAUCGACUUUCAUCAAUAGUGACCCAAUCCAUAGGGAAUAUAUGAUCAACUUACUAAUUUUAGCAUAAGCUCAAUAUUCUCUCAAGGUUGAGAGACAACAUAAUGAAGUAGCUUGGUGAAGUCAUGACUCACCGUAGGUCUUGUCUAAUGUGUGAUCAUACACACUAGGGCAUAUACCAUGAGAAACCUAUUUUGAUAGUCAAGACUAGUCAUCCUUCCAAUUAGAAGGUGGUGUACUACAACUUCUAAUGGGUUGCCUAAACCCAUGAACCGGCUAUGAACAAGUUAUCUAUUUGCAAGGAACCCAUGACUUGGAUCUUCCGUGCAACUCCUAAUGCACUCAAGUCAUAUACAAUGCAAAAUAUGGAGACAAGAAUGCUCAUAAAGCGUAAUGCAUGACAUAAGAAUAGAUAAAAGUGAAACUGGAAUAUCAUUAAAUAAUGAAUUCCAAAUUUUGUUACAUUAUGUCAUGCUUUUAAGGGCUCUAUCCUAAUAGUAUGUAUUGAGUAGGAUGCUUUUGAGAGCAGAGGAGAGAAAUAUGUUGGAGGGUUUCAGGGUGGGUAGAAACAGAACUAGGGUAUCUCAUUUGCAAUUUGCCGAUGACACCAUCUUCUUUUCUAACACUAGGGAGGAAGACUUGCAGACUCUCAAGAGUCUUUUGUUAGCAUUUGGGCAUAUUUCUGGACUUAAGGUCAAUUUAGACAAGAGUAAUAUUUAUGGCAUCAAUUUGGAUCAAGCUCAUAUUUCAAGAUUGGCUGAGACACUUGAAUGCAAGGCUUCUGGCUGGCCUAUACUAUAUCUGGGUCUUCCUUUGGGCGGGAACCCCAGGGCAGGUGGUUUUUGGGAUCCUGUGAUUGAGAGAAUUUCAAGAAGAUUAGAUGGUUGGCAAAAGGCAUACCUAUCAUUCGGAGGGAGGAUAACUCUCAUCCAAUCUUGCCUUACCCAUAUGCCCUGUUACUAUCUUUCUUUAUUUAAGUUACCCGCUUCAGUUGCUGCAAAAAUCGAGAGGUUGCAGAGGGAUUUUUUAUGGUCAGGGAUUGGGGAAAGCAAAAAGGAUCAUUUAGUCAGGUGGGAUGUCGUGUGUAAACCGAAGGAAAUAGGGGGUUUGGGUUUUGGGAAUAUUUCUCUGAGAAAUCUCGCUCUUUUAGGGAAAUGGUUGUGGAGGUACCCUAGAGAGGGUUCAGCUCUUUGGCAUCAGGUCAUACUAAGCAUCUAUGGUUCACACUCCAAUGGUUGGGAUGCCAACACAAUAGUCAGAUGGUCACAUCGCUGUCCUUGGAAGGCUAUUUCUCAAGUCUUUCAGGAGUUUUCCUCGUUUACUCGAUUUGUGGUAGGAAAUGGGGAAAGAAUUCGUUUCUGGGAAGAUUUGUGGUGGGGGGACCAACCUUUGGGAUCCCAAUAUCCAAGUCUAUUUAGAGUAGUCUUGGAUAAAAACAUACCUAUUUCUUCAGUUCUCGGUCCUACUCGUCCUUUCUCUUGGAAUUUAAAUUUCCGUCGUAACUUGUCAGAUUCUGAGAUUGAGGACUUAGAAGGCCUCAUGCGAUCUCUUGAUGGAGUGCAUUUAUCUCCUUCGGUUCCAGAUGCCAGAUUGUGGCCCUUGUCUUCUUCAGGGCUUUUUUCAGUUAAAUCUUUCUUUCUAGCUUUAUCCCAAUUUUUUGGAUCUCCUUAGGUUUUUCCUUCUAAAUUCGUUUGGAAUUCUCAAAUUCCUUUCAAAGUGCAGUCCUUCAUCUGGUUAGUGGCACACAAGAAGGUGAAUACUAAUGACAUGCUACAAGUGAGAAGACCCUACAAAGCCCUUAGUCCGGAUAUUUGUAUUCUGUGCAUGAAGCAUGGGGAAUCAGCUGAUCAUAUUUUUCUUCAUUGCUCCUUGACGAUUGGGUUAUGGCACAGGUUAUUUCAGUUAGCUAAGAUGGAUUGGGUUCCCCCGAGAAGCAUCCUUGACAUGAUGUACAUCAAAUUCAAUGGAUUUGGUUCGUCUAAGAGGGGGAUAGCCUUGUGGCAAGCUGCAAACAUCGCUCUUAUUCGGAUUGUGUGGAGGGAAAGAAAUGCGAGGAUUUUUGAGGAUAAAGCAAGGAAUUCAGAGUCUCUAUGGGACUCUAUUGUUUUCCUUGCUUCUCUUUGGGCCUAUUGUUCCAAGGUUUUUAAGGGGACUCCCCUUAAUGCGAUACUUCUUGAUUGGAUAGCUGUGUGUACUCCAUAAGGAGUGGUCUUUUUAGAGUGUUUGCUUGUUUUUCAGUGUAUUUUUCUAUAGUUUAGCUGUCUUUGGCAGGAGGAUUCCUCAUCCUUCUUUUGUACUUUUUAUCUAUCAAUAAAUCUUUGUGUCGUUUCCAAUAAAAAAAAACAGUAUGCUUGUUGAUUGAGGCCACAACAAAGUUUUUCCUAUCAUCGAUUCCUCUCCUCCUUUUGAAGCACCAGAAUUGCCUUUCUUAUCAUCUCGCCAUUGAACUCUUCACCCAUCUUAUCGUUCUAGUCCUACACGUCAUUCCCAUGUGUUUCUUAUGAUUCUGAUUAGCAGAAGGAAACAAAAAUAUUAGAAACUUACCUAAGAUUUAGUUUUUUUUCUUAUCUCUUAUGGAGUUACACCAACCUGGUUGCUCUUUGUUUCAACAUAAGCAUGUUGCCUUUUCUAACUCUGCAUGCCUCUGUUUUAUUAUCUAAUGGCUGAAAUAUUACUAUUCCUAUAAUUUGGAAUCAAUUUGGUUUCCUGGAUUUUGUAGAGCACUCAAGAAUCUGGAACUUAGCCUUGAUUGAUCAUUUAUAGGGACCUCAACCCUUUGCAUGAUGUCAUCAACCGGAGGGAUUACAAGGAGAAGUACUACAAAAGCUUAAUGCCUCUUGGUCUCAAGUAUGCAGAGGUAUUGAAGAAAAAAAAAAUGCUUAUUAUCACUAUCUAAUCCCAGUCUCAUGUCGACUUAACACAGAUUUUAUGCAGCUUUUACCUUGGGGAGGAAAGCUUACAAGUGAGUCAUUGAGAUUUUUCUCACCAAUUGUGAUAUGGACUAAGUUUACUUCAAGCCAAUACAAGCAUGGUGUCCUAUAUUCUGCUUUCAUGGAUUACUACAAGGUAUAGUCGUAAAAGGUUUUAGCAUCCUGCUUUGUCUUGAGGUCAAUUCCCAAUUGCAUGCUGUUUAUAAGAAUUUAAAUUUACUUGAAUUUGUUAGAUCCUGUUUGCAUGGCUGGCUAUAUAAUUCAAAAUCCAAUUUUGUGUUAUCACUUUCUGUUGCGUUUUUAGGCAUGGCUUGAGUUAAUGGAACAAGCUGCAGAGGAGAGAGACACUUCACAAAUUAUUUGCAAUCGUGAAGCACAGCAUAGGUAUCUAACAUGGAGAGCAGAAAAGGUAGUCACUGGUAUUCUCACCAGCUUUGUUUCAUUCAGCCGAUAUCUGUGAAACCUUUGUGAUUGGCUUGAAGGCUCCACUGCAUAUUUGCUUGUAAAAUUUAUGAAUGUCUCUCUUUGUCCGUGAUGGCUAUAUAGUACAUGAAUGCAUGAAUGCACUAGAAAAGAUGGCUGCAGGUUAACUCUAGGUUUGUUGGGAUGAAUGCAAAAUCCACCACCACAGUUUGGAUCCCAUCUCAGUGUCCCUUUUUGUCUUUCUCUGUGUGCUAGCACGUCCGCACACACGCAUGGUGGGGGGUUGGAGUGGUGGAGAAGAUCCAGGGUGCAUGCUGAUUGAUAGACUGCUAUAGCCUACUAGUGUUAGAAUUGCAUCUAAAAUUAAAACUGGGGUUAAGACGUCUUGGUUUGUUCAAUUUAGCUCUUUUAUGGUAGAUGGUCAAUGGAGAUUUGCUGACGAGUGAGACAAACUGCUGUAGAGAUCUUUUUGAUCAGUAAAACCACUACAGAGAUUUUGUUCUUACCAACCACUGGUGUAUGUGCUAAAAAGCAGAGAGAGUUGUCCAAAUCUCAUUAUGUUGCCCAUGAGUUGGGAGCCUUUCUGUUGCUGUUGGGUCUGUGAACAAGGAGCCAUUCAGAGGGCUGAUUCCUCUGGUCUAUAUUGAUUGUCAGUGCUGAAACUCAAAACUGUUUCCUUAUUAUUUCUUUAGUACAGCUUCCUUCCUGUUUGGUGUAUCUAUGUUUCUUGCAUACCAGAUGUGUACGGGUUGUUUUCUGGUCACUAGAAGAAAUAAUUGAAAAGAAUAAAUAGAACUGGACUAACUCAGGAAGGGAUGUGCUUACCACAACAGGACUGAAGUUGACAUCCUUAAAGUGGAUAACUGGAAGAUUAUUACGUUGUUUUUUUUUUUUUCCCCUUUUUCACUAAAAGAAGCUCUGCAUCCAAAUGAUCUAUUAAGAAGCCCUAUAGUGUUGUUUUCCUGAUUCACUAUUAAUCAAAUCUUUCCAAACAAAUAUUAAUGGGUAUAGAGGCAAGGGAUCAGAAAUAGUUGGCACAGGUAAAAUCAUAGUAUGUCUUUUUGUGGUUAUAACUAUCUGGACUGCCCUUUAAGCUUUUCCUUGAUACAUUUGCUGAUGCAACUCCUGAAAACCAGGAUCCAGGUCAUCGAAUUCUGAAAAAGUUGAUUGGUGAGAGCCUCUCUAAGGUAUCAUUUCUGAACUAGUGAGCUUUCUGAUAUUCUGCCAAUUAUUGCACGUUUCUCAUAUUUUAUUAUGUAGGACCUGGUGAGGAGCUUCCUUUUUAAUGGAGUUGAUGAACUAGGAACCAAAACAUUUCUUGAUUACUUUCCUGAGUACUGCUGUGAGAAUGGAACUAUAAAUGACAAACGCAGUAUCAUUGGAAAGUCUUUUGAAAGUCGGCCCUGGGAUACAUCAGGAGAAUUCAUUGGUAACCAUCUCAAAAACUAUAAUUUAGCACUGGCUUUUAACCUGUUGCCUUUGUAUUACUGCUUUCUUCAUCUUCCCUUGUUAUUUCCCGUCCUAAGUGUGCACUGCAACUACUGUCAAACAUUUCUCAGUUCUUCUAGUGUACUGAUGUGAUUUUUAACCUUUGUUUCUCUCCAUUUUUUAAAUGUCUGAUCAAUGUGCAAUAUGACACAUGCCAGGGUCUCUCCCUAGCUUGAAUGAAGAAAGAGGUUUGUCAUAGGUAGCUGAGGGGCAACCUAUGAACAUGAAUCUUAGAUGUAGCAGCUGCAGCUGUAAGGAGAAUACCCAGAAGAGCAUGGGAUUAAUGGUAGUAAUAGAAGAAGAGAUGUUGGUUAUGGCCCUAGAUGGAGUGCAAUGGUGAAACGGGAUGUCUGCUACCAACCGCAUAUCGUUUGGCCUAGGUGGUCGUAUCAUUAAGCUGAGUUAUGUAAUUUUCUGAAUCCUUUUUUCUGAAGGGCACUCUGUUGUGUUGGUGAUACUGCAGUUUUUUCAAUUUCAAAAUAAAGAACUGUAUCAAUGAUUCAUGGGUAACACCUUUUUGUUUUGAAAACUCAAGAAAGAAAUUUUGCGAAGGGUUUCAAUUUCAGGGGCUAAUUAAGAAGGGAUAGAAUCAAAACCACACUAUACAAAAGUUUUCAAAGCAUAUAUUUUAGUGUUCUUUUUUUUCUUUCUUUCAAAAUGAAGUAUCUUAAUCCAAACAUUGGAUCACUCUUUCUAAUAAUCAUGAACUUCUUUAGCUCUAAAGCUAUGUUUGGUUUCAAAAAAUUUUGGGAGAAAUAAAAUAACAUGCAUAUAUAAAAAGAAAGAAUAAGAUAAGGAAAAUGAAAAGCUUUGUCUGAUCAAAAAAAAAUAAAAAAUGAAAAGCUUUAGGGAAAAAAGAUUAAAUUAUUGUAACAUGUACUUGAACACUUUUCACGUUUAUCCAAAGAAAAAAGGGAAACAAAGCCAAAAACUUUAUACAAAUCACUUGAAGGAAGAUUAAGUACAAGAGUUAACUGGGAAAGAAUGGAGAAUGUAACGACGCAUAUUACAACUAUAUACAAUUCAUGGUGAUGAGUGACAAUUGACCUCUUUCAACUCAGAACAUCUUGUACGGUACAAAUGAAAGAAGCUGGUGAGCUUGGGGUUUCAAUUAUUUGGCUUCAGCAGUUUUGAAUAGCUCCUGCCACUUCUGCGGAUCACUUCCUGGACCAUCUCCCUGUAAGGUACGAAAUCAGCCAAGGGAGAUGGUGAUGUUUCAAGCAGAACAGAAUAUGCUAAAAAUCAAGGUGGGGGGUGGGGGUGUGGGAAUUAUUCCAAAUGGUAUCCAAAUCAUUACAUGAAUCAUCAAAUUCAAAACAUACAUGGAAGAGAUGGGAUAAACUCCACUGAAAAAUUUCUCCAUUCCAAUGCUCUUUUAAAUGAAUUCAUUUUGUUCACCAUAGCAAUGGAUGCAUCUAUCCGUUGCCAGCUUUUCAGGGAAUUGGAAUCAUCAUUCCAGUUACUUGAAAAUCCAAUUUCAAAUGACUCCAUUUUUGUUUCAGGGAAUUGGAAUCAUCAUUCCAGUUACUUGAAAAUCCAAUUUCAAAUGACUCCAUUUUUGUUUUGCAAUGAACCUAAGAGGAUAGCUUUUCACAUUCAACCGGUAUAGAAUAUAAAAUAUAAUUACCUUAUUUACAUGGCAUAUCCAAGCAACCCCUAAAUAUUAUUUCAAAUAUUAUAAUAUAAUUACCUCAACUGAAUUGAUUUCAUAAAUUUUGCCUUCAGUAAAUUCUAUGUCCAAUGCCUGUAUGCAAGCUUCAGCAACUACAAUUCUGCUAACCUCUCCAACAAGUUUAUCUCCUGAGACCAAUAACAAAAGCAUUAAAUCAAAAGAGAUAUGGAUAAGAUAAAAGAGGAAAAUGUCCUAAAAGCUGAGGAAGCAAACUAUAAUUUAAAGGCAAUAUAAAACCAAUUGUCCCUUUCCAUGCUUCUAUGCUAAUACUGUUAUAUUGGCGUCCAUCAGAAUGGUGGCCAUGGAUUAAUUGGAAACUAUUCUUGUUUUAUAGUAGAUUGAAAUAUAUCAAUUCACUAAUUUGUUACCGAGUACCAAACGAGAUGGUGUCAAGUCCUAAGAAAUGUUUUAAAACUCAGACAGGAGGUUGAUCUGGUGACAGGACUGUUUAGUUCAGCCAACUCUGAUCAUGGGCCAGCCAAAGUCAGCCCAUUGGCAUGAUCAUUGAAAUUGUUGGAUUUACUGUAUUUAUUUACAUGCACAUACUGUAUUACACCAAAGUAACUCCAUUCUCAAAGUUCCUUCUGGUUGGAAAAUAAGCUUUACUGAAGAAACUCUACUGUUACAUCCCUAAUUAGAAAUUAAAUAUUUUGAAAUAUUUCUGUUAGUGUGAUACUAUAGCUAGAUUAAGUUGACAAUUGUAGUCCAAAAGCACUAGUCCAAUGCUAUUUAAUUUCAAAGGCACUUGUCACCUUCAGAGCAAAGAUACAAGGUGGUCAAGCAAAGUAAGGUAGGAAUGUAGUAUGAGCAUUGGUUAAGUAAUGGUAGGUGAAAAAUGGGAUUAUGAUUUAUGAACAAGUCGAAAGGUUUCAAGGAUGCUUGAAUGCUCAAAGGAGGGCUUGAGCAAACUCAAAGCAUGAGAAAAUAGCAAAAU